Molecule: long non-coding RNA, 63249 nt
Filed under: Vitis vinifera (wine grape)
Lineage: Eukaryota; Viridiplantae; Streptophyta; Magnoliopsida; Vitales; Vitaceae
Description: long non-coding RNA (VVIN_LNC005960)
Source: RNAcentral
AUCAUGUAAUCAGCAGAAGUUCUCUAGGUUUCACACUUUAAGAAUAUUAAAUUUGUUAAAACUUCUAUUUUUGGCAUACAAAUGCAUCAAUUGCUACAUAUGUACAUAAAAAAAUGUACCAAAUACAUGAUCAAUUGUUAUCUUCAGCAAGCAUUAUAGUCUUGAAGGGUAAACUUCAUAAAAGAUACUCAAAUCAUUAAAUUAUUGUGAUGGGCUGCUAGGACAUCAGUUCACUAAUUGCUUGUUGAAUAGGGUUGCAUAACCCCAUAACUACAUUCAAAGUCAUUAUUCAACACCUCACACCAUGAGUUAUCCAUCAAAUCCCUAAUUGUGUGUUGAACCCGUCAUAUGUAUAUAGCCCCAUAAACAACUUCAUCGCCAAUAGCAGAAAUCUCCAAGAACCAACUUUGAGUCUGGAAAGUUUGCAUCCAGAUUGAAAUGUAGGGGAAAAGUGAUUUUAGAAAGAAAUCAACUCACAUAAGUCAAACUUGUAUACAGUUGGUGCAAAUAUCAACAAACUGCCAUACUUUAACCAACUAACUAAUCUCCAGAAAUAACAGUAGACUGGAAACCUCAACCUGACAAAACAUUUGGAUGCAGAAUGGAAGACUAGAUAUAUCUAAAAAAUCAGUAUGGACCCAAAAAAGGAAACUAAAUAUUACAAUAUAUAUUAAGUGCCAAAAAUUACAACUAAAUAUUACAAUAUAUACAAAGGGCUGAAGACAUGAUAAUGACAAGCAAUUUCAAGAACAAUGUUCAGAAGAGCACAAAAUUUAUACAUACACAACGAGUUACAGAUGCAAAGUAAAACCAUACCGAAGCAUGAGAUGAGAGAGUGAUGCUGAGAAGAUGUAAUCGAUCUUUUGCCAUCAUAAUCUGGAGAAGAGGGAAAAAAAUAGCAUCCAGGCUCAAAAAGAAACUUCUGAACAAGAAAGAAUUAAAGGAUACAAAUAAUGUACCUUAGGUUGGUUACUGUACCCAUGCCUAUUCUGAAUUCCCAAUUCACGGGAUAAUUGCAUAGAACCAGCAAGGGCCAUCCUUAAGAAAAAGCAAAGAUACCUCUAGUGGCACAAUAUCAUAAUGCACUUCAACACUGCUUAUUCUUGGACAACACCAAUCAUUUAAUGCAGAAAGGGCGUAGAUCCCACAGGUUCCCAAACUACUGCACGAUCAAGGCACCAGGCCACAUGAACUUUAAUUCAGUAAACAGAAAGGAAGAUAAAAAUGUACCCAGCAACUACAAACAAACUUCCUGAACUCUUUAAAACAACAAUUGAUUUAUAACUAUUACACAGUGAAGUAGUUUAAUUGGACAGAAUCAAAUUGAAGAAACCUUCACACAAGUUAACAAAAUAUUUGGCCAAGAAAAUCCCCACUCCCCGCGCGCCCCCCGCCCCCCCCCCCAAUCAAAUAUUCCUCCAUACUAAAUAUUUAGUUAUGAAAUCAGUUUCUUUCCAGGAAAGAAGUCCGCUGACAAUGACAAAGCUACAACUGGAUGAUUUACCUUUGUCACAAGAUCGAACUCCAAGAUUAGUCCCAAUAAGGAUAGUAUAUCGUACAGAUUAUGCAGCCUCUAUCCUAGAUGGAAAUGAUCCUCCUAAAACCCAGAAGAUUUUUAAAAUAAGUGGCUCAAACUACAAGUUUUUGGAAUUUAAGACCGAACUUUUCACCCAUUAAGUCCUCACGCUAAAACUGUAGACAACUUGCAAUUUAAGAUGAAAACUGAAAUCCCUCACGUCUCGUGCUAGAACUGUAGACAAUUCAAAAUAAAAGCAAACUUAGGUUUGUCCUACCACUAGGUUCCAAGAAACGAAAAAGAAAAAAAGAAAAGAAAAAGGAAAUUCAACAAAAAUCGGCGGAAUAAUGGUAAGACUUGGCUCAGUUGACUCUUCUAGGGAGGCGAAAAAUACUAAGUUCCAAUUAUCCUUUCUCUUUACCUUCUCUUUUUCCAAGCAGUUCCUCAGACAUCAAUCAAACUCAAAAACCCUAGAUUCCAAAAUGCCUAACAAAUAAUCACAUCUACCAAUUAUUAAUUGCCAAAAUAUCCAAUCAUACCUUUCUUGGGAACCAAAACAGAAGAUAAUUACCAGAUUUCACCUCCUCAAAAUGGAAGAAGGGUUUCAGUUUCAGGUAGAACUUCAGAGAAAGUUAGGAAGACGGUCGAUGAUAACAUGCGCCGGGAGUUUCUGUUCUCAGUUGUCAAAUCUAAAUUCAAUGUUCCGUAUGUAGGAUAGUUAUACUGUGCUAUUUACGUGGCGACUCCAGAGCGUGAUUCUAUCUUUUUUUUUCCAUUGUUUUUAAUCUACUUUCCGCUUCAUCGAGACGCGGCGUUUCGCAUUAAGAACGGUGCCGUCGGUUAAAGAAUGUUGACGUGUCAACUGGGCCUUCCAUUCACGCGCACCGCUGGCAGGUUAAAAUGGGGGUGAAUCGCACAAAAAACGGUAAACACAACUCAACACGGCGUCUUUGUGUCGGUAUCCAAGGAGGCUUUGUGGAACACGUGUACAGUGGCUGGUUGCGGUGAUCCAACGGGUGAUGGAUAGCGGAAUUUGUCUUGAAAUAUCUUUGCAGUGUUUGUGAAGCUUCGGACAUGGUGUUCCUACCGUUGGGAAAGCGACGUUCAUGGUUUCGGAUAAGCUUACGUGUUAUUUGAUUAAUAAAUUAAUAAUUUUGGGACCACGAACGAUGAAUGGUUUAAUUAAAGAGGUAAGUAGAGCCCAAUGUUACCUGGGCCGAGUUUUGGAAGCCCACGUCGACCCCAAUGUUGCGUGUCGUUUAUCUGGUUGACAGGUAGAAGCGUGCGUUGUUAGAUGAGCACGUGUAUCUAUCAGUGCUUGGUUAAAGAGGGCGAUGUUAGGCCGUCGUGGUAGCAAAAUUAAUCAUGAUGCUUAUUAGAGAGAAAAAAAAAUACUUCAUAUCUCAUUAAUGUUUCACCUUUAUUGGGCUAAGCUCUUAAUGUUUCAUCAUAUCGGGAAAAGUUUACGUUUGAUUGAUAGAAUAAAAUAUGAAAAAUUAUAUAUUUCAUGAUAUAUGUAUAUUUUAAAAUAUGAUUUACAAUAUAAUAUCUUAAGAUAUAAUAUUUUUAAAUACACAUAUAGUAUAAAUAUGAUAUUUCAAGGUAACAUACUAAUUAAAUAUAUUAUAUUAUAUUUAUAUUUAAUUUAUGAAAUAAAUAAAAAAUAUAUAUUAUUUUCAAUAUUAAAAAUAAAAUUAUAUUAGAUUCAAAUAUUUUCUAUAUAAAAAAAUUGUUAUAUUUAAUGAUAUUUAUUAUUAAAAUAUUUAAAUUUUAUAAAUAAAUUUUUUUAUAUUAUGUUAUUUAAUAUAUAAAAAUAAUUUAUAUAUCACAUAUUAAUAUUAUUUUAUAAAUAUUUUCUUUUUAGUUUUUCUUUUUUAUCAUAAAUUUAAUUUAUAAUAAAAACUUUACUUAUAAAAUAAGUAUAUUAAAAAAUAAAAAAUAAAUUUUUGAUAUACACAUAUCUUAUAUCUUAUCAUGAUAUUAGCAUAUCUCAUAUGAAAAGAAUAAAAAAAUUAUAAAAAAUAAAUAUUUUAUUGUCUCAUAAAAUAUAUAAAAUUUUAGUGAAUGAAAUUAUUUUUUCAAAAUUUUAAGGAAAAUUUUAAAACCACAUAAUUGAAUGUCAUUUUAAGGAUAAUAUGAAUAUUUUACAGUAAUUGAUUGUGGUUUUAAUGUUAUUAGGCGUGGUUUGUAAAGGAAAAUUUAAUUGUGGUUUUAAGAAAAAUUUAAAAUAAAAAAACGCCAUGUGGAUAAUUGCGUGGUUUUGGUAGAUAUUUUAGGUGGGAACUACUUCCAUUAUUUUUUUCUUUAAAAGCCCUAUUUUGGCCAUGCUUAGCAUGCGGAAGAGAGGGGGUGUCCAUCUCAUCAUAUUAAACGCCUUACCACUUGCCAGCCGACUUCUCAAGGUCUACACGUGCCCCCAUUUGGACAUGCAUCGUACGUCCCCACAAUUCCCCCAUUUGAUAGGUGCAGUACCCUGAUUGCUCCCAUCUAGAAUUUUGGGCAUUGCAUUUUUUCUUCCUCUACAUUUCCUAUCUUCGCCCUCUUCCCUGCUCUUGUGAUUCAGCUUCUUUUGUUCUCUUUAUCCCUCCGCUCAUCUCUUUGGUUUAAGGUAACUGCCAUGGUUGAUGAUGACGGACGUUGUCGCGCUGGUCCAUUAGUUAAAGAUCCCUACUCCUGUUGAGGUUGUGAGUCUUUUCUGCAGGGACCAGUUGCGGCGCUCACACACCCACACCAACGAGGGUUACAUCCUAGUGGAGCACCUAAAGCUUCCUGGCCUCUUCCUCCCCUUUUGAGGCAUCUUUUUAGUUUUGUGAAGGUGUCACUGCAUUGGUUCAAUCCCAACUCGUUAGGACCCAUAAUACAAUGCAAUGUGUCUAUAGUGUACAGGGCCACGACAGCAUCUAGUUGUUCAGUAUCAGAGCUGUGGUUCUUAGUUUAUUGACCAAAUAUUGGGUAACUUCUAAUGAACCUCCCCAGCAAUAAUAUUGACCUCCCUUGAGGUUUUUGGCUUAACAGUAAGUAAGAAUUAGUUGUCAUGGAACGGUAGGGAGGUAAGUGGCAUUCCAGAAACUUCAAGGGAGGUUUUCAUUAUCCUGUGUAAUUUGCCCUAAUGAAUUAUGGCACAAUAGAAAGACACAUUUUAGCAGUCACAUUCUAAACUUAGAGAUUAAAUGAUAUAUUGAUACAUAUCACCAUGUGGGACACCAAACUUGCAAGAACCUGAAGACUUUAAGAUCAAACAUGGCAUUGUCAGGCUCUGACUAAAAGACUUAAGACUUAUUUAUAGGACUCCAAACCUUGACAAAAUCAAUUCAUAAUUGCAGAAUAAGAGCUCCUAAUAUAAAACAAAUUAUCAAAUCAUAAUCAAUGUGGGACAAAGAUUCCUAAAAUAAAUCAAACUCUUGAUUGAGCCAAAAACCAACAUUGUUAUCUCUGUUGCUAGGAUUAAGAUAGAGCUACCUGCAUGAUUUAUCAUGUUUAUAUCAUAAAGCCACCUUUUAAAACAGAGCUUCAAGCAUUUAGGAUGAGAUCAAAGUUGAUGACAAACCUGAGCUCAACUAGAAUUAAUAAUGUAAGUUUCACUAACCUCCCUUGAGAUUUAAGUCAAAUACACUUGCCGGUCAUGAAUUUAAAAUUUCAUUGAAUACAUCUCUUAUUUUGAAUGAGGAGAUGUGAAUGAAAAUAACAAAUAAGAAGAGUAAGGAAUGUCUUUUAUGAAAUUUUAAAUUCAUAGUGCCUCAAUAUAUUUAACCAAAAGUCAAGGGAAGUGAGCAAAAUUAACCAUAAUAAACGAUCAACCCGAAUCCAAGUUAGUCCAACCUUUAACCUUAAAUACAACUCAAGCCCAAAACUACCAUAUUUUUUUAAGAUUAAGCUGAUCAGAUUAGACUAAGGAUUGAUACAGUUAUAUGAUUCAAAAUCCACCCACGUGUUUUUUUUUUUUAUUUUCUUUAUAUGUUUAUAAAAAAUUGAAUUAGUAAAUGGAUAACAUUGCAAGAAAUAACAAAUAGAAAAAAUAAAUUUAUGUAACCUUGUAAAAAAAAAAAAAGAAGAAGUGAUAAUUAUAAUUUGAUAUUUUUCCUUAAAGAUCUAAAUAAAUAAAUAAAUUAAAUAUUAUCAUAUAAGAUAAUAAUAUAAGUUAUAAAUAUUAUAAAAAUAUUAAAUUGAGUUCGGGUUAGGUUUAAAUUAUUCAAACCUUUGCCCAAACCUGACUUGAACUAAAGUUUGGAUUGAAAAAAAAUUUAACCCAAACCCAACCCAAGUAUUAAGAAUGAUUAUCCAAGUCCGCCUAGUUUUGCAUGGUGUAAAACCAAAGAACAUGUUAUCACCUUUCUACAUCCCGCUGACAACUCGAUGUUGCGCUAGGAGCUGAAAUGGUGUCAAACCAAUGAACAUAUGAUCACUUUUCUACAUCCCGCUGACAGCUUGAUAUUGCACCCGUAGCUGCUGAUAUCUUUUUUCUUUCUUAUCCUUGCCACUGGGGGCUGAAACAUUACCAUUCCAGCAGGCAGCCAAUUCUUUUGACUCUCGGUGCUAGGACACAACCCUUUCUUCUUCCUCAAUUGAGCCUUCAAGAGCUACACCAAGAAUAAUGUUUUCUAAGGCAGGGGUGGCUAUUGAUACUGUUAUCUCCAUCUUGCUUUGCCAGUGAAGUUGCAGAAGGAAGAAUAUCUGCUUUUCUAGUGCCAGAUUCUGGGAAGUUCAGAGAGGGAUUCUCAAAAGCUGAUCCACCUUGGUUUUUGUCCUCAGGAAUCAGUCCCACUGUCUCCUCCCUCACCUUUUCCAUGCCUACCUCAGACCGCUGUUUUUCAUAGUUAUUUGGGGUUGAACCAUCAGUCACCAUAUUUUCGAUUUUGUCAGAUAUUGAUGUUUCUGAAACCUUGUAGUUUGGAGUUGGUGAUUGAUGUUGCUGCAAUGUUGUCAGCUAUUGUGGAGUCACUAUUUGAUGACGCUCCAGCCUUGGAACCUGGCUUCGAAUCAGAUUUUGUGUUUGCUUUAAUCUUGGCAUCCUUUUCUAGAAUUGACGAUGCCCCAGCCUUGGAACCUGGCUUCAAAUCAGAUUUAGGCCUUGCUUCAAUUUUUGCAACCUUUUCUUUGUUCCGGCGUGCUGAACCUGUGGAAGCCUUCAUUUUAUCAUCACCGUUCAUUUUAUAAGAGGGCUCAAUCUGCAGGAGUGGACGGUUAGCAGCUGCUUGGGAGCGGGUGAAUAUGGGGUCAGCAAAUGGAAUAUUUUCCAUUUCCAUGUCAGCCACACCGUAUUCUUUCUGAACUGUACGAAUGGGUGUUGCAAGGCGAGCUUGAUGAUGGCUGACAACUCUGAGGAGAUCCAAGAGUAUUGCUUCCUGAUUCAUCAAACAAUGAUUGAUCUUAUGCAAUCUUUCCAGUUACUAACAGAAUAUAGCAAGAGAAAUAAUAUAAAAAAACCAACACUGAGGAAAAUAACAGUAAUGCAUACUGACGAACACAUCCAUUAUAAUGUGUCAUCAGUAAAAGAGCUAUGUGAGGAACACACAAGUCUUAAGGCAUAUCCAUUAUAAUGUAUCAUCAGUAAAAGAGCUAUGUGAGGAACACACCAGUCUUAAGACCUCACAGGAUCUUUGAAUCAAUCUCUAUCAUCAAUUUUUCCAAUUCCUAGUGGAGCCUCCAGGAAAUUCAGUUGGGUGCUCUUAAAAAAAUAUCAAAAUUUUGGUUGCUGACUCAAGAUUUCACAUCUCCAGUAAAAGCAAAUGAAUGAUCGGACAAACCCCCAGCAUCCUAUUCUGACUCAUCAGGUAUGUAUUACAGUAGCAUAACAAAAGAACAAAAAAGUAUGAACAUCCACAUAAAUGGGAUAUUGAACAAAACCCAUUAAGACUGUGUUGUGUCUGGAUAAGAUGAUAGAACUGAUUAUCAUAGUAACCAAUGGCUACUGAGGAAUGGAUCAGGAUUACAUUUACAACUCUUGGUUACUUCACAUCUCUAAGAAAGCAUUUCAAAAUCUAGAAUGUUGCCAAACCUCCAUCCCUCAAACCCAAUCCACCCGUAACAAGAUUCAGAUUCAGAUUAGUGGAAUCAGGUUUACUUGAAAAUUAAUGUAUUGUCAUGGAGAUACUCUAGAAUUAUAAUCCCUACUAUGAAGAUGAUCCUGUUUGAGUGCUAGAAAGUUUAAACUUAUGUUUGGUUCCCAGAAAAUUUGAGGGAAAAUAGAUAGGAAAAGUAAAUAAAUAAAUAAUUAAUUAAAAUCAAUAAAUCAUUUUUAUAUGCUACUUCAAACUUAUUUAAUUUAUUUUAACUCUUUGUAUAAAAUUAAAUAAUUUAAAAAUAUAUAAGUUUAUCACUAAUUUUGAUUAUAUUUUAUUUUAUUUCAUAUUUUUCAUAAAAAAAAUCAUGUUUCUUUCCUUGGUACCUUAGCAUAAAGGCUCACAAAGUAGCAAAUGGUUCAAUUGGGAUGGGGAUUAAAUUUACAACUCAUGAUCACUCACACAUUUCUAAGAAAACUUCUCACCAGAAUGUUGCAAAACCUCCAAUCCACCCAAGAAAAGAGACAUAGAUUCAGAUUAGCGACUCGAAUCAGAUUUACUUGAAAACUAAUACAUUUACACGAGGUAUUCUAACAUUAUAAUCAUCAAUAUGCAGAUAAUCAACAAUGGUUCAAUUUGGAUUCAGAAAUAAAUACUAUUUUGCAACAUAAAAGCUCACAGCUGCAUACAUGUAUGAAGCAUAUACUCAAUGAUAUCUGAUUAUAAUGAACUGCACUUACCUUGACACACAGGUACUCUUCAAUACGUGAGGUUUUCACAAAGCAAGAUACCAAGAUCUGUAACAAAAGAAGGACUAAUUAACAGAUAUUGAUAUUGGAAAAAGCCUACUACAACCUGUUGUUCUAUUUCUAGCACUUUAGAAAGAUAACUGAGGUCAAAGCAAGUAAAUGGUGAACUGAAGUGAUGGUUGAAGUUGGCCAAACAGAUGCCUAAAAGACACUACCGGCCUUUAAAUGCUGAGGUAGAACUUUAGCUAAUAUAUGAAUGUGAGAGAUCAAGAGUAUAUCUUUAUAUAUGUUGGAAAGUGUCUCAUAUUCUAUUUUGAGUGGAUUUGAAAGUUGUUGAUAUUUUCCUAAUAGGAUAUAUUCAUAUAAGGGACUUUCCUAUUAUUAUAAAGCAAACAUCCUAUUGUGAGAUCCUCUUUUAGGAAUCGACAAUCACAUAAUAAGUUUCUUAUGUGGAAUAUUUCUAUGUAAUUAUGAAUAUAUAUAAGAUAUUUUAAUUGAAAGAGAUAGUCUCUUUUUGGGUGGAAUUGGGACCUUAGGAUUUGAGAGCUUUAAGAUUGUAGUCUAAUUAAACAAUAGUGAAAGUUCUUCUUUGUCUUUGCCUGUGGAUGUAAGCUUUAGGUUGAAUCAUGUAAAUCGUUGUAUACUUUGUGCAUCUUCUAUUUUUGUUAUUUUAUUUUCUUCUUUCUAUUAUUAUUCUUUAUUGUUAUUUUCACAAAAAAAAUCUGGAAUCAAAGCUUAACUUGUUAAACUUGGAAUGACGACAAAGUUUUUGGUUAAGAAGUCUGAUGAAAGAAACAAUUUCAAUUUAUGGUACACUAAGAUGUAUGUCUUGUUGGCUCAGCAAGAGCUGUCCAAAGCACUAAAAAAUAGAGAUACUCUACCAACAACAAUGUCUAAUGUAGAUAAGAAUGAACUUAUAAGGAGAGGGCACAAUGUUAUUUUAUUGUGCUUGGGUAAUGAGGUAGUUCAUGAGGUUAUAGAAGAUAAUAUAAUUGUCAAGUUAUGGUUGAAGCUAGUAAGUUUGUAUACGACCAAACCUCUUACAAAUUGCUUGUGUAUUUGAAGAAGCGGUUGUUCAAUCUUAAGAUGAAAGAAGGUAAAUCCAUUAAAGACCACCUUGAUGAGUUCAAUAAAACUACUAUGGAUUUGAAGAAUAUUGAUGUUAGAAUUGAUGAUAAAGGCCAAACUAUAAUUUUGAUAUGCACCAUACCAAAUUCUUAUGAGCAUAUUGUGGAUACCAUAAAGUAUAGUAGAGAUGCUCUCUUGAUAGAAGAUGUUAAGGUAGCCUUGAACUUAAAGAAAUUGAAGAAAAUGGUGUCUGGGAGUAAAGAAGAAAGCUCAAUUGAAGGUUUAGUGGCUAGAGGGAGAACAACAAAGGACGAUCUAGAUUUAAAUCAAAGUCUAAGGAAAACAACAAGUGUUUCAAUUACAACAAAGUAGGACACUAAGUGAGAAAUUGUGCAGAACGUAAAGGGAAAGAAGCUUCUAAUUCCGGCGAUACAACAGUUGUACAGAUACCGCAGAUGUUGUUUCAAUUACUAGUAGUAACUCAAGAUGAUGAGUGGAACCUUGAUUCAGGAUGCUCUUAUCAUGUCUCCCAAUAGGGAUUAAUUUAAUAUCUAUCAACUGAUGAUGGGAAGAUUCUUAUGGGAAACAAUGUAGGAUGUUAGGUUGUUAAGAUAGACAAUUUGAAUUAAAAUGUAUGAUGGAAUUAUAAGAAUAUUAAUUGAUGUAAAGCAUGCUCCAGAGCUGUAAAAAAAUUGAUUUCUUACUCCAAUGGAUGCACAUAUAAAGUUGGAGGUGGAGUUAUGAGAAUCUCAAAGGGUGCUCUUGUUGUGAUGAAAUGGUAAAAAUUUAAUGGUCUUUAUACAUUUCAAGGUAACAAAGGUGCAACUACGGUUUCGACCUCAGAAUAAAUUUUAGAGACUACCAAAUUGUGGCAUAUGCAGCUUAGGCAUAAUGAGAUAAGGUUAACAAUUUUGAGCCAACAAGGUUUGCUUAAUGGACAAAAAAUAGGAGAGCUAGAUUUUUGUGAGCAUUGUGUGUUUGGGAAAAGAAGGUAAGGUACUUUAUUUAUAGAACUAAAGGUACUUUAUUUAUAUUCAUUCAGAUAUUUGAGGUCCAUCUCACACUAUAUCACAUAGUAGUGGAAGAUAAAUGUUAAUCUUCAUCGAUGAUUACUCCAGAAAAGUCUGAAUACAUAUCUUGAAACAUACAAAUGAUAUUGGGAAGUUCAAGCAAUGAAAAACUAUAUUUGAGAAGCAAAUGGGACAACAAAUCAAACACUUGAGAACUAACAAUGGCAUGGAAUUAUGUGAGAAAUAAUUCAAUGAGUUUUGCAAGAAUGAAGGUAUUGUAAGACACUGCACAGUUAGGCAUACUCCACAAUAGAAAUGUGUUGCAAAAUGGAUUAAUAGAACCCUUUUAGAGAAAACACAAUGUAUGCUUUCAAAUGCAAGGUUGUUGAAUGUGAAUGUGAACGUGAGAGAUCAAGAGCAUAUCUUUAUAUAUGUUGAAUGUGUUUCAAAUUCUAUUUUGAAUUAAUUUAUAAGUUAUUGAUAUUUUCUUAAUAAGUUAUAUUCAUGUAAGGAACUUUCCUAUUAUUAUAAAGGAAACAUCAUAUUGUGAGAUCUUCUUUUAGAAAUAGAUAUCUUUCAUAAUUAUAUAAUAAGUUUCCUAUAUGAAAUAUUCUUAUGUAAUUAGGAAUAUAUAUAGGAAGAGAUUUUGAUUAAAAGAGUCUCCUUGUGGGUACAAUUAGGCUCUUCUUCAUCUUCACUCGUGGAUGUGGCCAUAGUGGCAAAGCUAGAAAAUAAGUUAAGGAUAGGAAUUAAUUUCAAGGGGCAAACAAAGAGAUUAAAUGGUCAUAUAGCUUGGUGAUAAAAACUAUAGAAGCUAAUCCAUAAAGAAAGGAUCAAAUUCCCAUCUUGGCAAAAAAAAAAAAAAUGAAGAAAAGCCAAAAAACAUUGUGCCUUGGACAAAUUUGACUCCAAAGCCCUUCUACUGUUAGGGGUAUAUCCUUGAAAAAAGAAAAGUGACUUAUAAGAAAACCUUUUCCAAAAGCAAUCUUGCUCAUAAAAUAAAAUAAAUAAUAAUAAAUAAACUUUUUAUGAAAGUAUGAUCAAUUAAUGGGAAAAACUGCAUGAUGGCCAUACCAAGAGGGCCUGGUUCUCUGGAUCGAUAUAGUCCAGAAACACUCUUCUAUGCAACCUUUGCUGCUCUAUUUGAGGAUUUUUGGAUAAAACCUUGCGCAUAUCAGCUACAACAUUCUGUAACCAGAAAAGAGAUAACCCAAUUCAUCAAAUGAAGGGAAAGGACCAAAACCAAGUGCUUAAGUAGACAAGAUCUAGUUGAGAGGUAGAUAAACCAAUUUUUGCUCACUCACAUUAAUCUUAUCGACAUCCAAGUGGCUGAUGGCAAGUUGUGUCUUGAUGCGCCAAUGAGUUCUCUGGCUGAGAUUCCUCACAACAUUCACUGUGAAUUUGUUGUUUGGAACAUGAACUGCUUCACGAUCAUCACCUCUUAUGAUUGUCGGUGACCACCAACCCACACGCUGAAGUAAUAUGUAUUAUAAUUACAAAAAAGCAGAAAGACAAGGUCUGACAAUUCCUACCUUAUUCAUAUUGCAAAACAACCAAGUUGCUUUUUUUUUUUUGAUUGGUAAAAGUUGCCAAUCUCACUUAUGUUAAGCAGAGGCAGUGGAAAGGCCUUCUUUCUCUUAGCUAUAUUACCUUUCUAAAAUCUCUGUGGAAAAGAGUGAAUACAAACCUCAACUGUACCAGAAACUUCAGAAUCUUUAAUCUUUGUUUGAAUCCGUUCAUUCACAGCAAAUGGUCGUGUUGCAUGGAUCAUUACACUUGAAAGGAAAUUUGUGAAUAUCUGAAUGAAUCAAAAAAUGAGAAUCAAGCUUUUGGUAAAUGAAGAUCCACCCAGUUAACAGAAAAGGUGUCUUCACCUCACGACCAGCAAGAGUAAGCAAUACUGUGCCAAGACCCCCAGCAGUUAGCCAUUUCUGGGUGGGAAAACCCAGCAACUCCAUGAACAAUGAAACAGCAGCAACCCAUAUUGCAGUAUAAACAGCUUUCCCGGCAGACUGGAAGCCAAUCUGCCAAAAGCAAGAAAACAUUGUUGUAGAAUAAUAAUUAUUCGUUGCAUCUAGCAGUGCCUUGAGAUACCUGACUAUCAUUUAAUAGCUCCCUAACCAAAAAUGUCAGACCCAAAAAAAAACAGAAAGAAAGAAAAGUAUGUUACAAUGCUUCCCAUGGAGGAUAAUGAAUCAAGACGUAAUUUCCGGAGUGCCUAGGCAUUUGAAAAAAAAAAAAAAACACACCAAAAAAGAGGAAAAAAUCAUCUCUUUGGCUUCUCAAUUUUCUCACAAAGAUUCACACUGCAGAGUGGAUCAUUCCAAAGAAUAAAGGAAGUUGACUAAGUUUGAAUUUUAUUACUUUAAUUACUACAUUUAUUCACUCAAAACUUUUUUGACUUAGGAGGAAAUGACAAUAAUGCUUUUCCCCAGUAAGUGAAAAAGGAAAAUAAUACAAAGGCAUUGGAUUAUAUAAAAACUAAAUUCAAAAUUUAUUUUUAGCUCAACAAAUCAUCCACAUUAAGUAAUUACCUCCUUUCAAGGAACUAGUAGUAAAUUCUCAUGCUACUUAUUUGAUCAUGUUUCAUUAAAUUAAUUUUUUCCAAAACAUGUACCACAGUGAGCUGUGAGGCAAUUUAGCAUGACAGAACAUGAUAAGCAACAGAAAAAAAAAAGCUGCAUCAUUUCUAAAGUAGCAGAAACAUACAUUUCUAGCAUCACUGGAGUCAUUGCUUUCCAUGAAGAAUUUUUGUACUUCUUGAAUCAAGCUGCACAAAAAGAAUAUGAACACUUAACCACUCAAAUGCAUACCCCACAUACCUCAAUCCAAAUGAUGGGAAAAUCAACAAGAUGGACACCAAUAAAAUAAAUACAAAAAAAAAAAAAAAAAACACACACACACACACACACAAGCAAACAAAAAUGUGAAAGGUUGGAAAGAUGAUAUAUAUUUAUGGCAACAAAAACAGAAGUAGAAAAGCUCUUUCAACAAAACAUACUAGUUAAAAACAUUUUGUUUUGAUAAGUAAGUACGAGUGUACUAGAAUAAAAAGAAGUAUACACAACGUAUACAAAGCAACCAAAAACCCAAAAGAAGGGUGGGAAUAUAAAAACUAUCGGUUGCACCCUACAAAGAGCCUAUCCAAUCCACAAACUCUAACAAUGAUAACGAUCCAUCCCCAAUAUACAUUCUUACCCACUCCCAAAAAAAAAAUUCAAGAAAGAUCCCUUAAUUGUUUGAUUAAAACUUUCACAGGUAUCGAAAGCUCUCCUAUUUCUCCCACUCCAUAAGGUCUAGAACACGCAUAAUGAAGCAACCUUCCAAGAUUGUUUUUUUUUUUUUUCCAACAGAAAAACCGUGCCAACUUAGAAGAAACCCCCUAACUAAAGAGUGCAUCACCCACUGUACACCAAAUAGAGCAAAAAUCAACUACCACAAAACUCAUGAUUUUAUGCAAUGAAGAAGAAUGUGAUCACGCGUUUCUUCUUCUUCUUUGCACAUGUAGCAUUUGUUGGGAAUCCUCCAACCCGUCCUUUUGAGCUGAUCCAAGGUCAGAAUCCUAGCCCAAUUUGCUUCCCAAGAAAAGAAGCUAACUCUCACUAGGACCCAAGAAUUCCAACCAAUGUCAUGAGGGAAAGGCUCCAUUCCCCCAUUCACCAAGGAGGAGUAAAAAGAUUUUACAGAGAAGUUACCAUUCUUUGACCUCAGCCACACCAUAGUAUUUUCAGAGUCCAAGUUAAUGGAGUGGUUAUACAAUCUCUUAAAAGAAGCAUCAACCUUCUCCAGCUCCCAAUUAUGCAAUUGUCUAACAAACCUGGGGCUCCAACUACUAUUGUCCCAAAUAUCCUUCACCCAAGCAUCUUUUGAGAAAGCUAUAGAAUAAAGGGCUGGAAAUAAGUCCCUCAAGGUUGUGUCUCCACAUCACUUGUCUGUCCAAAACUUCACCCUGUUGCCAAAACCAACCUUGAAACCUGUUUUAUCUUUGAGCACUUCCUAAACACUUUUGAUUGCCUUCUACACCUCCACUCCAUAUUCCUCUCUUACUUCUUUAGAGCACCACCCUCCUUCUUGUUGCCCAUACUUUCCUAUAAUUACCCAUUUCCAAAGAGGGUUCCUUUUGCACACAAAUCUCCAAGACCAUUUUCCUAAGAGAGCUCAAUUAAGAAUUGAUAAGUUUCUAAUGCCCAAACCCCCUUUUUAUUUUUCCAAGCAAACAAUUGCCCAAUAUACCAAAUGCAGCUUGUGAAGCAACACCCCCCCUUCUCAAAGAAAAUCCCUUUGAAUCUUUUCUAAUCUCACAGCUACCCUUUUCGAGAUGGGGAAUAGAGACAUAAAAUAAAUUGGCAAACAUUAGGAUGCGCCAACCACUAAAGCAGGACUCAUGCCAACGCAUCAAAAGUUAGAAUAAGGCAUUUGGCUUAUUAUUGAACCUUUUUAGUGUUAACAAUAAUAAAUAAAUAAAUAAAAAUAAAAAACAAGUUUUUGACUACAACAAUUCCUCAAUAACUCCUACCAAUCAUUUUAAGAAUGAUCUGCUACUAAGUGCUUGAACGGCACUAUGAUUAAAUGUUUGAUAAACUUAUUGGAAAACUCCUCAUGGGACAUGAUUGUCACAGCAACCACACUCACCUUGAUAAACAACAGGCAGAGGCUAGCACCGUUGAUAAUGAUCGUAUAAAAAUUAGAAGUCGUUGCUUAACAGCCUGGCUCUCUUUUGAAGGUAGAAUUAUUGGAUCCAAUGCUCUAAAAAUGAACCCUGAUAUGGUCAGCAUAGUAGACUGAACAGAAGUAGAUGCUAGUCAUGCAGAAAUAUCAUGUUACUGACCUGCAAAUAAGCAUUGCUCCAAUCCAUAACAGCAAAGGUCGAAGGUAAUAGGUCAUAACAUAAUACGUGCUACUCUUUUUCCAACUACUAUUAUCAGUCUUCUGCAAGAAAUCACGAAAAAAGAAGCAUCAGACAAUUAAGGGAUUAACAACUGUUGAAAAGAUAAAGAUAAUGGUGAAAGAAUAAUAGUCUGUACAUUGAGGAAAAGGUUCCUGCCAAGACGCAUUAGCGGCCCCAGACCCCAUGUAGCAAAAGCAACAAUGCUAACUGCUGGAACCAAUUGAAGUAGAAGAGGGCUUCCUUGUAAAGCAUUACAUGACCUGCAUCAUAUGAUGGAAACUGUGUCAAGAUCAUACAUGUUAAAAUGGAAAAGAGAGAAAAAAUAUAUAUAUAUAUAUUAUUCUGACAUAAGUCCAGGUAGGUAACGUGUACCAACUUCAAAUAUGAGCUCAAAAGGCAAUCAGGUGUGUAAGAUCAUUUUCCAUUACAAAAAUCAUUAUCCUAUGGAACUGACCAUUAUCUCAUCAGAUUGAGCAUGAAAACUAUCCAAGGAUAGAGCAAGCAUAGAAUUUGUUGACCAUUCCAAUAUUGGUGAAAUACUGCCCUCCCACUUGGAGCUGCUUCUAAAGUCCAUUUAUUCAUAUUUUAGUGAAGAGCCACCAUGUUAUGUUGCCUUACAUUAGCAGUUGCAUCCGGUUUGACAAAUGUGACAUUAUAUACUCUUUAUUAUUAUUAUUUCAACAGGUAAACAGGGGCAACCAAAGGACAAAGAUGUGGACUCAAUCGUCCCAGAUGUAAGGCACAUCAUGUUCUUUUAAUUCUACAGGAUAGAUAAUGUUCCCAGGUACAAGGUCCCUCUAGCUUAAGACAACCCAAAACAGGCAGUUAGUGCACCGAUGAUUGCCACAUUGUCUAGGAUAGGAAGUAAGCCUUUUGGGUUGAUUAGUUUUGUGGCUUAUGAUAGUUUUAUUUGCUACUUUACAAAGACUGUAGGCCGCUUGUACUAGAUAAUUUAUAUGAAUGAACUGUCAAAGGACAACUUUGUUGUCCACACUUCUUUCCUUAUUUUAGCCCACACUUCUUUUCUUAUUUUAGCCCACAAUUAUUUCCUUAUUUCUCCAUUUAUUAUUCUGUACAGUUAGCAUACAUUAUUUGACAGAUUAUAGUUUACAUAUAUAGGGCUAGAAUCAUGCUGGAAUUUAUUUGCUUUUAUUUGCUUUCCAUGUAUAGCAUCCUUGUAAAGUCUAUAUAUAAUAUACAAAACUCAAGGCCAAGGUAUUCGGCCAUUCACACAAUAUUUUGACAUGGUAUCAGAGCUUGUGUUCUAAACUUAGAGUUUACACACUUUCUAGUUUUUCUUUGGGUUUUCUUGGAUUUAGCCCUAAGGGCUCUCGGAUUUAGCCAUAGGGGCUCUCGGAUUCAGCCUUAGGGGCUCUCGGAUUUAGCCUUAGGGGCUCUCGGACUCUAGCCCAGCUUUUGGGUUUUUUUUUUUUUUUUUUCUGGUGGUUGUGACGACACAUCUGUGGUGUGAUCUUGGAGUUUUCUUUAGGUUUCUUCGCUUUUAGGCCCUUGGAGAUCUUCGAUUAUUUGGAGGUUUGUUAUCAGAUUUGGGCUCUUUGAUGAUGUUUUUUUUUUUUUUGUUUCCUAGGUUAUUUCUGUCUUCAUAAUGUCUAGAGAAUAUUCUAUUGUUCGUUUCAAUGGCAAAAACUAUCUUAGUUGGGAGUUUUAGUUUAAGAUGUUUGUGAAAAGUAAGAAGCAAGACAGAGUCUCUAAGUCAUCUACGGAAUCUGAGUACCGGGCGAUGUCUCUUGCUUGUUCUGAAAUCAUUUGGCUUCGAGGUUUGCUUGCGGAGUUAGAUUUUUCUGAGACCGAUCCUACACCUCUACAUGCCGAUAAUACAAGUGCUAUUCAGAUCACGGUCAAUCCUGUCUAUCAUGAGCGCACAAAGCAUAUUGAAGUGGACUGUCACUCUAUCCAUGAAGCCUUUGAAGCUCGUGUUAUCACUCUUCCACAUAUUUCCACUGAUUUACAAAUUGCUGAUAUCUUCACCAAGGCUCUCCCUCGUCAUCGACAUUGCUUGCUAAGUAGCAAAUUGAUGCUUAUUGAUCAACCUGCAUCAAUUUGAGGGGGGCUGUCAAAGGACAGCUUUGCUGUCCACACUUCUUUCCUUAUUUUAGCCCACACUUCUUUUCUUAUUUUAGCCCACAAUUGUUUCCUUAUUUCUCCAUUUAUUAUUCUGUACAGUUAGCAUACAUUAUUUGACAGAUUAUAGUUUACAUAUAUAGGGCUAGAAUCAUACUGGAAUUUAUUUGCUUUUAUUUGCUUUCCAUGUAUAGCAUCCUUGUAAAGUCUAUAUAUAAUAUACAAAACUCAAGGCCAAGGUAUUCGGCCAUUCAUACAAUAUUUUGACAUGAAAAGCUAUAAAAGAGAUGGCUAUCUAGACCUAUGUGCACUUGAUAACAAGAAAGUACAAGAAAUAUAACUCAAAACACUUCUAGAAGAAUUGAUCAAAUGAGCAGAUGAACCUCAAACAAAUUUUCUUUUAAUGCCCAACCAUAGUAUUAGCAAAGAUAUUAACAAUCACAGGUGGACACAGAUAAAUGUAUGCAAUGUAGAGUUUAUUGAUUGAUGCGGCAUAACUACAACACAAAAAGAUUUGAUUAUCCAAUCCAAGGUACUAACUCUCACAAACUUAUGAACGAUAGGCUACAGCAGAAGAAAAUGAUAUUUGUAUGCAGGUAAACCGUAUACAUCCAGCAGUAGAAAUGCAAAUAUGAAGAAACUCCAAAAUUACAAAAAGUAAGAAACAAAUAACCUACUUCAGAUAUGAGCUCAAAGGCCAAUCAUGUGCACAAGAUCAGUUUUUACAUGACAAAACCCAGUAUCAUAAUCCUGCGGAACUGGACCAUUAUCUUAAAAGAUCAAGCAUGGAAGCUAUCCGAGGCUAGGCAAGCCUAGAAUUUGUUGGCCAUGUUGAUAUUGACGAAAUACAGCCCUCCCACUAGGAGCUGCUUCUAAAGUUCAUUUAUUCAUAUUUUAGUGAAGCACCAGCAUAUCAUUUUUCCUUACAAUUGGCAAUUGCAUCUGGUUUAACAAAUGUAACAUCAUAUGCUCCUUAUUACUACUUCAACGGGUAAACAGGGACGGCCCAAGGACAAAGACAUGGACUCAAUCAUCUGAGGUAUAAAGUAUAUCAUGUUCUUUUAAUUUUAUAAGACACAUAAUGCUCCCAGGUACAAAGUGGUUCCAGCUUAAGACAACCCAAAACAGGCUGUUAGGGCACAGAUGAAUGCUACAUUAUCUAGGCAAGGAAGCGGGGAUUAAGGAUUGGUUAGUGUGGAAGACACAGCUGUGACAUAUACAGUUGUGUGUGUACAGCUGUCUAUAUCUAUGUACAGCUGUAUGCACACACAGCUGUGUGGAUUUGUGUAUAUAAUCCCUGAUUUGUAGGGAUCUUUAAUAUUUCUUUCUUUAUUCUUUCUUUCCUACUAUUGUAUUUAUUUCAAGGGUUGUAUAGAUUUAAUAUAUGAAUGAGAAAUACAAUCUUUCUCCACAUGGUAUAAGAGCCGAUUUAGGCUCCUUGGAAUUUUUCUUUUCAGUCUUCAUUGCUGAGUUGUAGUACCCUUUUUUCUUUCUUUUUUUUAACCCCAAUUUAAUGGCCUCCAUUGUCAUUUCAAAGGCACUCUGCUAUAUUUUUCUCUAAAAUUAUAUCUAGAACAACAAACAAGGAAACUAUUUGGUGUAUCUACUGCAAAAAGUCCAAAUACACAAGGGACUGGUGCUGGAAGCUCUAUGGAAAGCCUCAAAUUUCGAGUAAAGAUUGGGACUUCAAGGGUAGACAACAAGGUUUUAAAGGUGGACAACAAAGAAUUUAAGCACACUUCAUCAACUCUCAAAUCAAUGAAAACCCAUUACAAGAAAGAGGGCUGGCAGUGAACAUACUGAUGUUAACACUUACUGAUCUUAACACGGAAGAGAUUGAGAAAUCAAAGAAUCUCCUGAGGAACCCUUAAGAGUCCUAGUGGAGCUUGUUCUCUCACUUAGUCAGGUAAGUAUUCCCCUUCUCUUGAUUUUAGUGUCUUAGAUGUCUUUCUAGGCUCUUGAGUCAUUGACUCCAGAGCUAUAGAUCAUAUGACUCAUUCCCCACAAAAGUUUAGUAUCUUUAGCCCAUAUCCUAUUAAUAAGAAAAUAGCCACCGUUGAUGGUUUUCUAGCUACCAUGGCUAAUCAAGGGGAAGUUCGCUUGAAUAAAUCUAUAGUUUUGAAAAAUGUGCUACAUGUAACUAAGCUUUCCACCAAUCUUGUUUUCAUUCGUCGACUUACCAAAGAACUUAAUUGUCAUGUUUUUUUAUCUCUCUCACUAUGUAUUUCAAGAACAAGAUAUAGGGAAGACGAUUAGACGUGCUAGAGAAAAUGGACUUUACUAACUUAAAUUGUUGUUUAGUCAAAAAUAGGACUGGAAGUCAGGUACCCUUAUCAUUCCUUUUUGAAAUCCCAUUCACAAUAAAAGAUAAGAUUUGGCUUCAUCAUCUCGUCUUGGACAUCCGUCAUUUGGCAUUCUUAAAAAUAUGUUUCCUUUAUCGUUCAAAGGAAUUGAUGUAGAAAAUUUAUAUCGUGAUGUUUGCGAACACCAUCGUGUUUUUUUCCUAAUAAGUAAUAAAAGAGUUCCAAUUCCUUUUGAGUUAGUUCACAGUGAUAUUUGGGGUCCUUCCAUAAUUCCUAACAUUUUAGGCUCUAGAUGGUUUGCCUCAUUUAUAGAUGAUUGUACUCGAUCUAGGAUCUUUCUUCUCAAACAAAAAUCAGAUGUGAGUAUGGUAAGUGUGUUUAUGUAUCAGCAAUUCCAGGUCAAAAUUCGCAUUGUGUCUCUUAGCCCAUACUCUUCAAAUCCUCCAUUGGAUACUUGUCUUUUGCGAAUUGUUCAUGUUUGAAGAUGGCUAAAGGAGAUGGUAAGUGUUUUUGAAGUGUUGGAUGAUGGCAAACAUUGAUCAACCAUGUUUUAAACUCUUAUCAUUUUACUAAAAAAUGGAUGGUUGCUUAUGGAAUGUAAAACAUAAUGUUUAAAUCAUUUGGAUCGAUUUCUGAUCGAUCCAACUUAAGGGUAUUAGUCUCUAUUGUACCAAGUUCUUUUUAUUCUUAUCUAAUCGAUCAAACUUCAACCACAUCUGCAUUUCUUUAGCUUUUUCCAAAUCAUUCUCAAUUGUUUGAUGGAUUUUAAAAUCCUAAUACUUAAGCCAUCUUUCCAAAAGAGAAGAGACGGUUGUAAAAGUGAGAGACCUUGUUUUAAGCUUUAAUUUUUCUAACCAAAUUGGGGAAAGGGUUAGCCUUGAGAGAAAAUCACUUGGGUUUGAGUUGAAAAUCAAUUUUUGAGUGAAAAAUUUUCAUUCCAAAUGGGUUGAUUCAUUGUGUUAUUCAUACUUAUUCUCAUACUCAUCAUUUUGGGGUAAAACCAAAAUUUCUUCUUGUAUGGAUUCAAGAAAAGGUCGAGAUCAAGCUUGGUGUGGACUCCAAGUAUGCUCCAGAAGAAGAAAGUGGGUAGUUGAAGUUUAAAGGUUCAAGGCAUGUGGUCUGGGAGAAAAUUGAAGGAUUGGGCUAGGUAAAUCCUUGUACUCAAUUAAGUUUCUUCAUAGUAGAUGUUUUGAUCGUUUGAGGCCCAUAGUUUUUUAUCUCUUUGUAGGUUUUCCACAUUAAAAUUUUGGUGUCAAUAUCUCUUUAUCCCUAUCUCAAUUUUUAUUAGUUUAUGUUAGCUUAUAGAAUUUUCAUUGAUUUAUUUUGUUGAUUGAUUAAGGUUAUGAGCUGAAAUUGGAUCAUUAAGGCUUUAAAAGAAUAUGGUAUAUUUCAGUUUUUUAUGUUGAUGAUGACAAGGGACAUGUGAAACUAUAAUUUUGUGUUGGUACAAUGUAUCAUGGUUGGGGAGUGUUGAUCCAUUUGUAUGUAACUUACAGUGACUAACUUGUUGAGAGAGUGUUGAUGCAUCCAUUAUUGCAUGUGAUUUGCUUGUGUGUUAAUAGGAUUGAAAAAGAAACUCAAAACAUUUGAGAAAAAUAGGGGAAUUGUAACCAUUUGUGAAAUACCAUCUCAAAUUGUUUUAAAAACACCUAUUCACCCCCCUUCUAGGUGUUAUCCAUAUGUGAGAUUCAUCUUUUAUGUAUUGCAUUUCCCAAUUUUCACAAAAUGGUCAAAACUCAAUUUAAAGUGGGAAUCAAGAAGUUUAGGUUUGAUAAUGCAAAUGAUUACUUCAAUCAAAUCCUAUCUCCUUAUUUUCAAAAAGAAAAUAUUAUCCAUGAAUCCUCUGGCGUUAGUACUUCUUAACAAAAUAGGGUUGCUAAAAGAAAAAAUUGUCAUCUUCUUGUUGUUACAAGAGCUGUUUGGUUUCAACAAAAUGUUCUUAAAUUGUAUUAGGGGGAAACAAUACUUACCGUUGUUCAUCUUAUAAAGCAAUUGUCGUUUAGGGUUUUGGGGUUCAAAAGUCCAAUGGAAAUUUUUUCAAAAUACUUCCCAAACUUUACAAUGUCUAUCAAUAUUGUUCCAAAAGUUUUUUGUUGUGUUUCUUUUGUCCAUGUCCACGCUCAUAACAAAGAUAAACUAGAUCCAAGAGCAAUUAAGUGCAUUUUUGUGGGGUAUUUAUCAACUCAAAAAGCUUACAAAUAUUAUCAUCCACCCACUUGACAAUUUUAUGUCUUUCCCGAUGUAUCCUUUGUUGAAUAUGAAAGCUACUUAAAUCAUCCUUAUCUUUAAGAGGAGACAUCAUUCAUGGAAGAUACAAAUACAGGAGAAUUGUUCUUACUUGACUUGCCCUCACCUAUGUCUAAACCCUCACAAUCACAAUCAUCCAUGUCUGAGUCUGUGUCUGAACAUUCACAAAUUCCUAAACCUACAAGUCCUAACCUUAGAAGUCUACCUUUAGGGAAACAAGUUCCCACUUCUACAAGGCAAACAUUGGUUUACUCAAGAAAGAAAGCAACCAUUAUUAAACCUAUGCAGGUCCAAGAGUCAAAAUUGACCACUUCCUACAAAGUAAAUGAUCCAUUUUCUCCUAGGAUUUCUCUGGAUUCUGUUGAUAGUGGUGAUCUAAAUUUGCCCAUUGCAGUGAAAAAAGGCACAAGAACAUGUACUUAGCACCUUUAUAUCCAUUUUCCCAUUUUAUGUCCUAUGACAUAUUGUCAUCAUCUUAUAGAAAUUUUCUCACCAGCCUAAACACCAUAGUCAUACUAAAGACCUUAUCUAAGGCACUAAAUAGUAAGAGUGGAAACAAGCUAUGGGGGUUAGGAUGGAAGCACUUGAAAAUAAUGGGACUUGGGAUGUAGUUGAGUUAAGAGAGAAGAGAGUAGUAGGAUGCAAGUGGGUGUUCACAGUCAAGUACAAGGUGGAUGGUUCUCUUGAGAGGUACAAAGUCAAGCUUGUUGCCAAAGGUUAUACUUCGACAUAUGGAGUAGAUUACCAAGAAACUUUCACACCAAUAGCUAAGAUGAACACUCUGAGAGUUUUACUUUCUUUGGCUGCCUAAUUUGACUGAGACUUACAACAGUUUGAUGUGAAAAAUGUGUUCCUAUAUGGAGAGUUCAAAAAAGAAAUUUAUAUGGAUCUUCCAUUUGGAUUUAAUAUGCACUUGAAAGGAAAAAGGCAUGCAAAUUGAAAAAAGCCUUAUGUGGACUAAAACAAUCUCCACAGGCUUGGUUUGGAAGAUUUGCUAAAGUCAUAAUAACUGUUGGCUACAAACAACCUUAUUUAUUAAACACUCGGCCUUAAAGGGAGUAACCGCCCUACUGGUUUAUGUGAAUGAUAAAAUAGUGGUUGGAAAUGAUCUUAAAGAAAGAGAAGCAUUAAAAAGGUGUUUAACAAAAGAGUUUGAAAUAAACAAGCUUGAAAAACUAAAGUAUUUCUUGGGAAUUGAAGUGGCUCACUUAAAAAGGGGAAUUUUUGUCUCCCAACAAAAAUAUGUUUUUGACUUAUUACAAGAGACAGGAAAAAUAGGAUGUAAACCAAUUGAAACACCUAUUGAUUCAAAUCAUAAGCUUAGAGAAGCAAGUGGGGAUGCAAUUGCAGACAACUUAGAGAAGCAAGUGAGGAUGUAGUUGCGGACAAGGGUAUGCAUCAGAGAUUGGUUGACAGGCUAAUCUACCUAUCACAUACACGACCAAACAUAUACAAUCAGCCUAGUGAGUCAAUUUAUGCAUAACCUGAAGAAGUUCAUCUACAAGCUGCAUACAAAAUCCUACACUACCUAAAAGCAAGUCCAAGGAAAAGAAUUUUGUUUAAGAAAAGCAACAACCUAUCAUUGGAGACCUAUAUUGAUGUAGAUUAAGUAAGAUCAAUUGUUAAACAGAAAUCUACAACAGGAUAUUGCCCAUUUCUUGGAAGGAACUUGGUAACUUGGAGAAGUAAGAAACAAAAAGUUGUUGCAAAAUCUAGUGCAGAAGCGAAGUUUUGUACAAUGGGCCAAGGAAUCUGUGAGUUGCUUUGGCUCAAAAUUAUCUUGGAGGACUUGAAGAUUAAAUGGGAGACAUCAAUGAGACCUUAUUGUGACAAUAAGCCAAUCAUCAACAUUGCACAUAACCCAGUACAACAUAACAGAACCAAGCAUGUAGAAAUAGACAAACAUUUUAUUAAGAAGAAAUUAGACAGAGCUUAAUCCACACACCAUAUGUGUCCAUUGGAUGUCAAUUAGCCAAUGUCUUAACGAAAGUAUUAACCAGUACCCGAUUUCAAGAAAUCAUUAUCAAGUUGGGAAUGGAUAAUAUCCAUUCAUCAGCUUGAGGGAAAGUUUGGAAGAUACAGUUGUAACAUAUACAACUGUGUAUAUCUAUGUACAAUUGUGUGCAUACACAACUGUGUGAAUUUGUGUAUAUAAUCUCUUAUUUGUAGGGAUCUUUAAUAUUUCUUUUUUUAUUCUUUCUUUCUUACUAUUGUAUAUAUUUCAAGGGUUGUAUACAUUUAACAUAUGAAUGAGAAAUGCAAUUUUUCUCCACUGUUAGUUUUGUGGCUCAGGAUAGUUUUAUUUGCUAUAUUACAAAGACUGCAGGCCUCUUGUACUAUAUUAUUUAUAUGAAUGAAGUGCUACAAAAGAGCUGGCUAUCUAGACCUAUAUGCACCUGAUGACAAGAAAGUAUGAGAAAUACAACUUAAACACUUUCAGGAGAGUUAACCGAUUGAGUAGAUGAAAAAGAUGAACCUCAAACAAUUUUUCUUUUAAUGCUCAACCAUAGUACCAACAAAAAAAUUAACAAUCACAAGUGGACAUUGAUAAAUGUAUGUGAUGUAUAGUUAAUUUUUUUUUAUAGGAAACAACAAAGAGAUAUAUAGUUAAUUGAUUGAUGCUGCAUAACUACAACAGCAAAAGAUUUUAUUAUCCAAUCCAAGGUACUAACUCUCACAAAAAUAUGAACUCUAAGCUACAGAAGUACAAGUUCAUAUUUAUUUAUUUAUUGAUUUAUAUUUUUUAUAGACAACAAAAGCAUGUAUUAAGAUAUGCCAAAAACAGAGGGUGCACCCUAUGUAUACAGGCAAUGUACACAAAAUAUCCCAAAACAAGCACAAAAAAUAUACAAGAUUAGCCUACAAAAACAAGGCAAGCUAACCACAAGAAAGAGCAUCUAAGAAAUCCAAAAUAGAGGGGGCCAAUGAAUCAAUACAAGUUUAUAUUUAUAUGCAGGAAAACUGUAUAUAUUCAGCAAUAGAAAUAGAAAUAUGGACUUCAUUAGUGUUUUACAUGGUUGACUAAAAGAAACUCCAAAAUUACAAAAAGUAAAAAACAGAUGUACCUUGUCAAAACCAAGGCAGCAGAUUUUAAAACUGAAAUCUCAUUUCCUCCACCUAGAAACGAUCGGCACAGGAAAACAUUACAUCUAGAAGAUACAGGAGUUAUUGACCCACCCAUACUAUUUGAAAGAUGAAGACUCCAAGCAUCCUGUCUCUGAAGAGAUAAUCAUGUAAUCAGCAGAAUUUCUCUAGGCUUCACACUUUAAAGAACAUUAAAUUUGUUAAACUUCUAUUUCUUGCAUACACAUGCACCAAAUCAUACAUAUGUGCAUGAAAAAACUGUGCCAAAAAAAAAAAGGGAUCAAUUGUUAUCUUCAGCAAGCAUUUAUAGUCCUAAAGGGUAACUUCCAUAAAAGAUAAUUAAAUCAUUAAAUUAUACUGAUGGGCCACUAGGACAUCAGUUCACUAAUUGAUUGUUGAAGAGGGUUGCAUACCCUUAACCAAAUUCAAAGUCAAUAGUCAACACCUCAUACCAUGAGUUAUCCAUCAAUUCCCAAAUUGCAGGUUGAACCCUUCAUAGGGCAUAUAGCCCCAUAACCAAAUUCAAAGCCAAUAGCCAAAGACCCACUUACCAUGAUUGGACUGAGAGGAAGAUGGGAGGUGACUGUUGCUACUUCGGCAUCGAAUCAGAAUCUUUGAGAUAUCAAUUGGGAUGGUCAAAGGUAAGAUGGUUGGAAAGGUUGUGGAGAGGGGCUGGUGCCUUUCCUCUUAGAUCAUAUUUGGUGAGAAGGAUCUUUAUCUGUUGCUGGAAGGAGCGGAGGUCUGUGAUGCAGGUAGUGAUAGAUCUCCUUUCAAGAUGUUUCAUGUCAAGGGAGGUAGAGUUUACAAGCUGGAUCUGCAUAGCAACAAGGUAGGCAGAUUUCUGCUGUGUUCUGUUAGGCCUGUAGAGGAGAAGAAGUUCUCUUUGGUGUUCCUAGAAGGUAGAGGACUUCUUGGUGGGUGGAAAGUUUUGGCCGACAAGCUCAGGAGCUUGGGGGCUGUCCCAUUGCCUAAGAUUAAGGAGGCAGUUAGCACUGUAAAUGGCCAGAUGGAGACAUGGAUUAAAACUUCAGGAAAUAUUGGAUAUCAAUGGCCAUCGAUAGGAUAAUUAAGUGAAUAAGUCGAGUGGGCUGAUUUUUCUUGAUUUUUCCCAAUAUUUCAGGAUUUUUGGUUGAUAUUUCAGGAUAUUUCCCGAUUUUUUGGGUUUUUUUUUGUAAAUACCCCAUUUUCGGUGGUCAACAUGCAGUCAAAGCAAUGCUCAACACAAUCAAAGCCCAAAAAUGUGAUAAAACAAUGUAUGGGACUCAAACCCCUAUCCUCCUUCAUGAAAAAAAAAAGGGCAAUAACCACUUAGUCCAACAUACUAUUCAUGACAUAAAUGAUAAAACUUAUAUAUAUUAAAAUUUCAUCUCAUAUUUAAUGAAAAUGAGAAUUUUGGAGAUUAUAUUUUUAAUACAUUCAUAUCAAACACAAAAUAUUAAAAUAAAACUUUAACAAAUAAUUUAAUUUUAUUUAGAUUGGUCAAGAUGGAUUGUGCUCUCUGAGGAGUAUUUGUGACAUGGUAACCAUUUCAUAUAAGGGAUUAGGAAGCUCUAGGAGAGGCCCAGUAUUGUGGCAAAUCGCUUGUAUUGCUUUAAUUUGGGUUGUGUAGUAGGAAAGAAAUGUCAGCAUUUUUUAGGACAAGGCAAGGACUAUAAAGGUUCUUUGGGAUACAAUUCAUUUCCUUGCUUAUUUUUAGGCCUCUUGCACCCCUUAAUGUGGUUCAACUUGAUUGGUUAGCAAUGUGUAGUUCCAAAGGCGUGGGUUAGUAAGAAGAGGUUUUUUUGUAUUUACCAUAUGGUUUAUGGUAUUCCUUUUGUUUAGCUCUUGUUUGUGGGAAGAUUCUUCAUCCUUCUAUUGUACUUUUUAAUUCUUAAUUCAAUAUAUUACAUUGUUGUUUCUCCUCAAAAUAAAUAAAUAAUUUAAUUUUAACUAUCUUAUAUUCAAAUUCGAUUUAACUGAGUAUUAAAAAUGUAAAAACCAUUAUCAUAAUUUUUUUUAAUGAGUUUUUCUUUAUAUCUUUUGUAUAUUAAUUAAAUAUAAAAGACAUACAUUUAAAAAUAAAAUUAUAAACAUUUUAAAAAUCAUACAUAUAUCAUCAUUUAUUUUGUAUCUUUGAAUACAUUUUAAUUAAAUAAAUUUGUAUCGAAUGUGUUUUCAAGUUCUAUAUAUUAUUAAUGAAUGUCACAAAUAUCCUUAUAUAUCCAUAAAAUCCAACUAACAACAUAUCCGUAAAAACUGAUAUUUUCAUCCUUCAACGAAAGUAUCGGGAGAUAUUGAUGUUUCCAAUGUGAGGAUAGAAAUAGACAAGGUAGUAUGGAUUAAGCUUAGUAUGAAGGAGAUUAACAAAAAUUUGCAACCCCUUAAGUGUUGUUUUGUGGGUAGAUGGGGUAAUUUUGUAGAAAAGGUGUUAGGCGUCAUUUCCUUGGAGUCUUGGGUCGUGUUCAACUAGCGCUUGAAAGGUAUCCUCCAUUUGGCCUUGCUAGGAGGUUCCAAAAAGGUGCUUCGAAAGGGGACUCUUGUUUUUAAGGGCAAACCUCUAAAUCUAGAUUGGUGGGUUCCUGUAGCUUACUACUAUAGAAGUGGUGUUUGUUCUCUUGAAUUGUGGGUGAGAAAUUGUGGGUCUUUCCCUGCAUCUAUGGGGUAAGGCAUUAUUUAAAAAUUUGGGGAUGCCUACAAGGGUUUUUUGGUUCUGGGUAAGGACACAAUUGGUUGUCGCAAUUUGUAGUGGGCUAGAAUCCUAGUUAAAUAUGAUAAGAGGAAGGUGCCAAGCUCGUUGCAAGUGGUGGUGGGGCGUUCUUGUUUUGCCAUCCAGCCUUGGUGGGAGCUACCGCCACAGAUGACCUUGGUAAAGCCUAAGGCAUGGAGCUUAGAGCCUAAGACGUGGAGCAGAGAGCCUAAGAACACAAAUGGGGAAAAAGAGCCUUCACACGCUCGCAAAGGAGUAGGGCUUGAUGUAGUGCCCAUCGAGAAGUAUGUUGGCCAUGUGUUGUUUUUAGGGUAAAAAAGAACGUGACAAAGUAGAGGUGUCCUAAGGUUUUUCUUUGCUUAUUGUGCAGAAGAAGUUUGGUGGAUCCAACAAGGCUCUAAGUUGUUCUCCUUUGAUGUUGCCUAAAGUUUUAGGUAGGUGUUUUGAGGUGGUUUUGGGACCCUUGCCUUCUUCUAGUAAUUGGAUUAGCGUUAGCCCAUCUCAUUUGGAUUUUCCUUCUAGCUUCUUUAGAAAUGGCCAAUCAUAGGCAAUUAGACCCUUCUAAGUCUCAAGCCCCCUUUCUAAAGUCUUCUGGUGUGGGCCAAGCCUCAGUUAAAUUAGGUAAGCCUAAUACUCUUCUCAUUUUUAAAAAGAGGCAAACUCGUUUAGUGCCUUAUUCCUUUUCUUCCUCUAAGGAAGGGGGGCUUGAUGGGUCUAUGCCCUCUAACCAAUGUUUAUCAUCACUCCCGCAACCUCUUCAAGAGCAAAAGUCAAUCAUAGAAGCACUACUAUCCGAAGCCGCAAGAUUUAAAGGUACAUCCCACCUUUAUGUUUCUUUUUUUAGGGGCACAAUCUCUUCUUCAUCUUCAUCUCUCUCGAUGGCUAACCAAUCUGACCAGCAAGUGGUCAAUAAAUUGACCCCUUGGAGCCAAGAGGGGAUUCUACCAAAAUUCUUGUGAGCUUUGUUAAAGAGCCCUUGAGAAUGAUGAUCCAAGAAGGGUCUUUGGUGGAUUUAUCAAAGAAUUUUAUGAAAGAUUUACAGUGGUGAGACUGUGAGUUGAGAAAGGGGGAGGUGGGUUUGGCAAUUGAGAGAUCUAGUAAUGGUUGGGAUAGUGAGAGCUUUUAACUAAAAGAUGCAUCAACAAGCUAACUUUGUUCAACAAAUUUGAGGAAAUGCCUCUUGAGGGCUUUGAAUUGGAGAUUUUGGCCCUUUUGAGAAAAAAUGAAGGCUAUAAAAAAAGGGAUAGAGGUCUAAAUAAGGGGUUGUUAAGAAGCCAGCCUCAGUUUCUUGUUUUGAGAUGGAGAUUCGUAAAUUAGAAUGCUUAGCUAAUAACAAAAGUUCUCGUGGGCCUAAGAAGAGGUGUAGAAAGAGCAAUUAGUAAUUAGUGUUUGUUGACUGAUGAAGUUAAGGAUUCUUUCUUGGAAUGUUAGAGGUGCCAAUAACAAGGAGAAACAAAAAAUUAUUCAGUUAUUGAUCAGAUCACAAAUUGUGGAUUCAAUGUCCUCUAAGAACCUUUACAAAAUGUUAAGGCAUCUAGUCUAGAACUUAGGAGUGGGUAGAUGCUUAGAAUGGGAAGCAAUGGAAGUUAAAGGUCUAGUGGAAAAGAUCCUGGUAUUCUAGGGUAAUAAGGUGUUGAAGUUUAUUGACAUGGAAGUAGAAGGAUUCCCUAUUUCAUGUCGUUUCAAAAAUUGUGAAGAUGGCUUCCUUUGGAUCUUUUCAAGGGUGUAUGGGCAAUUCUUACGAAGGAAGAAAGAAUGUUUGGGUCGGAUUAGGCUCUAUAAAGAGAAUGUGGAAGGAUCCUUGGUGUUUAGGCGGGGAUUUUAAUAUGAUUAUAUUUCCAAGGGAAAUGAGGAAUUGCUCAAGGUUAUCCUUUGCUAUGAGGCGUUUUUCUGAGAUCAUAGAAGACUUGAACUUCAAGGAGCUUCAAUUGAGUAAAGGCUAAUUCACAUGGUGUGGUGGCUAAGGAUUGAUUUCAACUUCGAGGCUUGAUCAUUUUUUAGUUUUAGAAGAGUGGCAAGAUCAUUUUUCAAACCUAAAUCAAAGUGCCAUACCAAAACCUACUUCCAAUCAUUCUCUUAUUAUUCUUGAUGGAGAUAGGUUGAGUAAAGCGAAGACUCCUUUUAGAUUUGAAGAUAUGUGGCUUAAAAUGGAAGGGUUUAAAGAUCUCAUUAAGAGGUGGUGGUCAGGGUAUUCCCUAAGUGGUUCUUGUAGCCACAUUUUGGUAGAAAAAUUAAAGGCUCUAAAGUAAGACCUAAAGUUGUGGAACAAAGAGGUUUUCGGGAAUGUCUGUUCUAAAAAGCAAUGGUUUCAAAACUGGACCGGUCAUUGAACCGAAAAAGUUACUGGUUCAUAGUUCACUGGUCAAACCAUAGUUAAAUCGGUAACGUCAUAAAUAUAUAUUUUAUAUAUUAUUAAAAUUAAAAAUAAUAAAAUAUGGAAAUGAUUCAAAUUUCAAUUACAAUAAAUAAAUCAACAAAAAUUUCAAUAAAUUGAAAUUUCAAUAUGCAAUAAAUAAAUGAGAGUAAUAGAUUUUAUCAUUUUAAUCAUAAAAUGUUAAACAUAAAUAUUAAAUAUUAAACAUAAAAUGUAAAAUAUUAAAUAUUAAAGUAAAAAAAAUAAAAACUUAAACUGUUCAAACUUAGGAAAAAUCUACAGUGCCUCGUCAGCAGCACUAUAAAUGUAAAAACUAAAAAGUUACGGUCACAGCCACCAAAAGGUCCUCAUCGAUGGCGGCAAGCGAGUCUAACGGAACCAACACCGACUGCGACUGGCUGAGGAACUGGUAGUGGCAACUUGAGUUGCGGGAAAGGGCAGUGGGGCAACAGCUGGGGGUGAGGGGGAAGAAAAGGUUUGCAACAGCUGGUGGGGAUCCUCAUCGGCGACCACAAGCGGGUCCGAGGAAACUAGCACUAGCGGCGACUAGCUAGGGAGCUGACAGUGGUAGCCUGGGCUAUGGGGAAGGGCGGCGAGUAGGGUUUGCAGCAGUUGGGGGGUGGAAGGAAGAAAAAUGAAGAUUUUAUAGUUAUUAAAACGGUGUCAUUUCGAUGCCAAAAGCAUCAAAACAACGUCGUUUUGAUGGAAGGGGAAAAAAAUAAAAAUGAGUUGAACCAUUCAGUUCAAACGGAACCGACCGGUUCGCCGAUCCAACCACCGAUUCAUCCGGUUCGAUGCCGGUCCAACCCUUGGACGGCUUAACCCACUGGACCAAACCGAAACCGUGACCGGCCAAUUCGGUCCGAUCCGGUCCGGUUUUUAAAACCAUGCUAAAAAGCUAAAAGCCUUAAACCAAAUUGGUUUUUUGGGAUUCUAAGAAGAGAAAAGCAGUUCUUCUUGUUGAUGAGAUCAAGGCUAAAAAGAAAGCAUUAGAAGAGUUUAGCACAUGGGCUUCAAUGGAAGAAACUAUGUGGGGGUAGAAAUCAAGAGAAAUCUAGUUAAGAAAUGGGGACAAAAACACUAUGUGCUUCCACAAAAUGGCCAAUGCGCGUUGCACAAAAAGUAAUUGUAAAGGGUGUUUGGAUGACUAAGGAGGUUGAGUUAAAAAAUGGGGUGUAAGGCCUUUCAUAAUCUUCUUUCCAUAUCAAAAAAAUAGAGGCCUAGCAAUAGUGGUAUGAAUUUCAAAGCUUUAGGGAAUGAUGAGGCAAAAGCAUGGAAAUGCCUUUUUUGGAGGAAAAGACACCCUAUUUAAUUUAUCUAAGGAAAAGGCCUCGAAACCAAAUGGUUUUGCAAUGGCUUUUUGGCAGGCUUGUUAGAAUAUCAUCAAUGAUGAUGCAAUGGUUUUCAAAGAGUUCUUUAAUUAUGUUACUUUCUAGAGAUUUCUAAAUACAACUUUUUUGGUCCUAAUUCUGAAAAAAAACUAAUGCAAAAGAGUUGAAAGACUUCAAACCCAUCAACUCGGUUAAGGGUUUGUACAAACUCUCAACUAAAGUUUUGGCUAAUAGAUUAAAAAACGUGAUGGGAAAAGUAGUUUUAAAUUAUCAAUAUGCUUAUGUGAAAGGCAAACAAAUUUUGAAUGAAGUUCUUAUUACAACAAAGCCAUUGAUUCAAGGCUAAAGUGCUCUAUGAGUGGGGUCUUGUGCAAGAUAAACAUUGGGAAGGCUUAGAACCAUGUAAAUUGGAAUUUCUUGAUCUCGAUUUUGCAUAAAAUGGACUUUGGCAAAAGGUAGAUUAGAUGGAUUUCAUGGUGCAUAACCAUAGCAAAAUUUUCAAUUCUAGUUUUCAAAGCUCCAUAGGUUUGAGGCAAAGGAGAUCCUCUUUCUCUCCCUACUUAUUCAUUUUGGCCAUGAAGGCCCUCAAUAAGAUCUUGAGUAGGGCUAGAGAAGGGAGUUUUAUUUCAAGUUUUAAGGUGGGUUAGAGAAUGGAGGAAAGAGAUGUCUAUGUCUCGUCUUUUAAUGGUUGAUGACAUCCUAGCCUUUUGUGACACAAAUCAAGAGCUUAAGUUGGGCUUCUAUGUGGUUUGAAGUGAUAUCUAGCCUCAAAAUAAAUAUGGAGAAACGAGAGCUAACUCCAAUUGAAAAUAUUGUAUAUGUAGAAGGAUUGGCUUCUAUGUUACGUUAUAGGGUGGGAAAACUUGCUACUACCCACUUGGGUCAACCCUUAUAAGCUCCCAUAAAUCAGCAUUAGUUUGGGAUGCAAUGGAGGAAAGAUUUCAAAAGAACUAAUUUUAUGGAAGAGGCAAUACCUCUCAAAAGGGAGGAAGGCAACUCUAAUUAAAAGUACGUCGUCAAGUCUCCCUAUCUACUUCUUGUCUUUGUUCACCAUGCCAAAAAGGAUAAGCUUAAGACUAAAAAAGAUCAAGAGAGACUUUCUUUGGGUUGAUGGGGCUGGUGAGAAAAGGCCUCAUUUGGUAAAUUAAGUCAUUGCUUGUUCAGACAAAAAAACAUAGGGCCUUGGGAUUUGAAAUCUCUCCACUUUAAAUAAGGCUUUGCUUGGUAAAUGGAUUUGGAGGUUCCUAACUAAAAGCCAUUCAUUAAGGAAGAAACAAGUCAUAGCCCAUUUUGGCGUUUUAAUACAAUUUGCACUUACAUAUCAAAAAAAAAAAAAAAAACGUCACAAAAGGCAAAUUUGGGGAAAAUGAAGGAGGAUGGCAUACAAGGGAUGUGCGAGAUGGUUCCAUAUGGGGUGAAGGUGUGGAAGGAAAUUAGAAAAGGUUGUUAUGAAUUGAAAAACAGGUCUCACUUCGAUGUCAAGAAUGGCAAAAAGGUGAGAUUUUGGAAAGAUAAUUGGUAUUGGUAUACGAGUUUGAAAGAAACUUUUCGCUUCAUUGUCGAGAAUAGCAGAAAUGUGAGAUUCUGGAAAAACAAUUAGUGUAGACAUAUGACUCUGAAAGAAGCUUUUCUAAUGUUAUUUUCUUUAGUUGUUGCCAAAAACACAUGGGUGGCAAAGGUAUGGGAGGAAAAAGGGGAGGGAGAUUGGUAAAGUCCCCGUUUUUUCAAGAUAACUCAAUAAUUGGGAGCCUUAAGGGAGCAAAAUGGUUUUUAAGGAGCUUACAUUCUAUCCAAAUUAGAAGCAAUGCGGAGGAUAGGAUAUGUUAGAAGGAAAUCAAGAGUGGCACUUUUCAACUAAAUCUCCUUAUGCAUCCUUGGUUGGGGAAGAAGAAGGCCUCUUUCCGACAAAGAUAGUUUGGAAUCCUUGGGUACCUACAAAAGAAGGUUUCUUUGCUUGGGAAGCUAUAUGGGGAAAUAUUCUGACAAUUAACCAACUUAAAAGGGGAGGAUGGAUGAUGCCAAAAGAUGCUACUUGUGUAAAUGGAAGAAGAAUCAAUUAAUCAUUUAAUUAUUCACUAUGCUAAAGCAAGUUUCUUAUGGAAACUAGUUUUCUCUCAAUUUGGUGUGACACGAGUGAUGCGCUCCACCAUUAGAGAUAACCUUUUAAGUUGCACAGUUCUUUUGUGGGAAAGAAGUAGAAGAAAGCUUGGAAGGUCGCCCUCUUAUGUUUGUUUUGAACUCUCUAAAAGUAGACAAAUAGGAGGUCAUUUACUAAGCAGUCAAAUGAAGUGAUUAAAUAUUCUUUUAUGGCCAAUUUCUUGAAAUGGAUUAAGUUGUACAUAGACCAUCAAUCAAUGUCCAUGAUAGGUUUUGUAGAUUGGUUGUGCUUGAAGUGGAAAGAAGGAGGUUGUUUUUUGUUCUCUAUUUCGUUGUUCUACCUUUUGGUGCAUAUCGUAUACAUUGUGUGUACUUUGUUGUACUCUUUUCAAGGCACUAUUAAUAUACUCUUUUAUUGCCUUUAAAAAGAACAAAUACCAUGAGUCAUCCAACUCCCAAGAUGCUAUUCAAUAAAAUAGCAGAAAUCUCCAAGAACCAACUUUGGCUCUGGAAAGUUUGCAUCAAGAUUGAAAUGUAAGGAAAAAAGUGUCCUCACAUAAGUCAAACUUGUACACAAUUGGUGCAAAUGCCACCAAACUGCUAUACUUUGUCUAACUCACUAAUCUCCAGAAAAUAACAAUAGACUGGAAACCUGAACCUGACAAAACAUCUGGAUGUAGAACACACACACACACACACACACGCAUAUAUAUAUAUAUAUAAAGUGCUGAAUACAUGAUGAUAAGGAAUUUCGAGAACAAUAUUUGGAAUAGUAUAAAAUUUAUACAUAUACCAGCAGUUCAAGAUACAAAGAGAAAACAUACCAAAGCAUGAGAUGAGGGAGUGAUUCUGAGCAGAUGUAAUCGGCCUUUUGCCAUCAUAAUCUGGAGAAGAGCAAAAAUUAAAAAUAACAUCCAGGCCCAAAAAAUACAGCUGAACAAGAAUAAUAAUUAAAGGAUACAAAUAGUGUACCUUAGGCUGGUUACUGUACCCAUGCCAAUUCUGAAUUCCCAAUUCAUGGGACAAGUGCAUAGAACCAGCAAGGGCCAUGCUCGAGAAAAAGCCAAGAUACCUCUAUGGGCACAAUAUCAUAAUGCACUUCAACACUGUCUAUCUUGGACAACACCGAUAAUUUACUGUUGAAAGGGCAAAGCAAUCCCACAGGUCCCAAACUACUGCACUAUUAAGGCACCUGGCUGCAUGAACUAAAAUUCAGUAAACAGAAAGAAAGAAAUGUACCCAGCAACUACAAACCAACCUCAUGAACUCUUUAAAACAACAAUUGCUAUAUAAGUAUUAUGCGGUGAAGUAGUUCAAUAGGACAGUAUCAAACCGAAGAAACCUUCACACUAGUUAACAAAAUGUUUGGCACUAUUAAAAAAGAAACAAAGACACUGAAGAACCAAGACACAUCUAACUGCAGAGCCUGAAAAAUCAUAAGCAUAGAUUGUACAACUUUUGUCUCAAUCACAUCUUCCUCCAUACCAAAUAUUUUGUUAUGUAAUCAACUAUGUUCCAAGUUCUCGCCAGGAAAAAAGCCAGCUGACGUUAACAAAGCCACAACUGGAUAAUCUACCUUUUUCACGAGAUCGAACUGCAAGAUUAGGCCCAAUAUGGAUAGUAUACACAGAUUAUGCACACCCUGUCAUAUAUGAAAAUGAUCCUCCAAAAACCCAAAACAUAAGUGGCUCAAACUACAAAUUUUUUGGGAUUCACGACCGAACUUUUCAUACAUAAAUUUCUUACACUAAAACUCCAGACAAUUAGCAUUUUAAGAUGAAAAUUGAAAUCCCUAACUUCUCAUGUUAAAACUGUCGACAAUUCCAAAUAAGGGCAAACUUAGAUGUUUCCCACCAUUAGGUUCCAAGAAACGGAAAAAUCCAGUGAAAAACAGCGGAAUUAUCGCACAAGACCAAGCCUCUUCUAGGGAGGCGAAAAAUACAAAGUUCCAAUUAUCCUUUUUCUUUACCUUUUCUUUUUCCAACCAGUUUCUCAGUAACUAGACGGCGCCGACGGCAAAAUGUAUGGGCAUCACUCCAACUCAAAAACCCUAGAUUGCAAAAUGCAUAUAAAGUAAUCUCGUAUGAAUCAUUAAUUGCGAAAAUAUUCAAUGUUACCUUUCUUGGAACCGAAACAGAAAAUGGUUUUCAGUUUUCCGCUGGAGCCAGUGGCGGAGCCACACAAAGCCUAGUCCCCCACCCCGAAAUUGGAAAAAAAAAAUGGCACUAAAUGGAUUGACACUUUUCCCUUGAUUUGCUUAAAGCCAAAGAUACAAUUAGGCUAUGUAACUGCCUCCUGGAAAUAAAUUAUCAUUCUUGCCCCCGUUAACUUGUUUUCUGGCUCCGCCGCUUGCUGAAGCUGCAGAAAAAGCUGAGAAAACGGUUGAUGAUAUAACAUGCGCCGGGAGUUCUGUUUCCGGUGGUCAAAUAAUAUUCCGGAUAUUCGAUAGUUUUGCUGUGCUUACGGGACUCCGACGUUCUAUCUUGCUUUUUCUGGCGGUUCAAUUUCAGCGGGUUAAAUGUUCGGGAUGUAACUGUGCUUACGUGAGACUCCGGCGGUUCUAUCUAGUUUUUUACUUUUUUCUGGCUAUUGAAUUUGGGCAUGCUAAUUUGGGCCAAAAUGGACUUUUUCUUAGACUUGGGCUUCUUCCGAAACUAAUAUUCAAAAUAGCCCCCAUCAAUCCAUAUAAGCAUAAAACCCAGUCUUUUAUACUAUUUUUGUUUACUUUCCCAGCUUCCCAUCCCAUGCUCUAUUCUCUGUGUAAUUUUUUUCUUCAAAACCCUAGCCCCACCAGUAGGCUAUUGUGAGAGAGACAUUAUUGGAGCUACAAAGCAUCAAGGUUGAGAUUGGUCCCAAUCUUCUUUUUGACUUAUUUUAUGUAAAGUUUUUGGCAUUUUCCCUUUUUUUUUCCCAUCUCGGAAUCUCGGUUUUCAAAAUAUUUUUUUUCUCAUUGCUUUUGGUUUUCUCUUUUGUUUACAUCAUUCACGGCUAUUUUAGCAUAAAUGGUUUGUUAUCAUCCAAAGAUUGAAGCCCUUUUAAGAUGCAAACAUUUGUUGAAGUUUCUAGGGAAAAUGAAAAUUUAUGGGGAAAAUGAAAAUUUAUAGGGAAAAUGAAAUUUUCUGAGGAAAAAUGAUAGAUUUGUGAUUCUAAUAUCUGGCAUUUAUUCAAGUCUAUUUUUUUAUCCCUUUUCUAUUGGGACUUUGGGAUAAUGGAUUUUAUAUCCUUCUUUAAAGUUGUUUUCCAUCGCAUCCUAACUCAAGAGAUACAUGUGAGCUUGGUGUCUCACACAGGUUGUAUAUUGUGAUGAUUAAUGUCUUGAGGGUUGGUUUCAGCUUCGGCCUUGUUAGCUUGAGCAUCAUAUAGGGUAACCUGCAUGGAAAAACAAGGCUCGAUUUUGUAGCAUCUGGUUCUGGAUCUGGAUCCGCAACGCACUUAAAUGGUCCAACUUUGAUUUCUCCGAUGAAUUAGUUCACUUUUUUUUUCCUUUUUUGUUUGGUAAUAAAAUGCUUUUAGGUCUUAACUGGUUUUUAGCUUGAAGGUGCUCAUUACAAUGCUCGAUAGCUUGAAGCUACAGUUGAGUCGUCAAGUAGCAAAAGAAAGGGUUUAUUUAAGGGUUUUCGGUCUUUCAUGUCAAUUAUUAUUAAAUUAACACUACUUAUAAUAUAAUUUAUAUCAUCUACAUCAAAGACUUAUUAUUACUUAUUAAAAAUAAAAAUAACUAUAUAAUUGUAAUAUCUUUUACUAUCCUAAACUCGCUUUUAGAUUUUUCAAGGGCUUAAUGUUAAGUUUUUAACUUUUGUAAAUUUGAUAAUAUCAUUACUAAGUUUAUAAAAUAUUUAUAUAUUUGGAUAUUUAAAUGAAUAAAUGAAUAUAAUAAUUAAAAUUUGAAGGUGUAGUAGAGUCAUUUUUAUAAAUAUAUCAUAUUUAAAUACUUCACUUUUAAAUAAACUUCAUAAAAUAUACUGUUAUUUAUUUUUAUUUUCAUAUUUUCAAUUGCUAAUUUACUUAAUAUCUUGUUUUUAAAAAAAUAUUAUUAUUUAAUUUUAUGACAAGUCAACACAAUACAUGAAUAAUUUUAACAAUUAAAAUAUUAAUCAUAUUUAUUUUGACACAUUAAAAUCUAUAUAUAGACCCGAUGUGAUUUGAUUGGUCAUUUUUUUUCAAUAUGUAUCGAAUCAAUUCGGCAACUGGACUGAGAUCGCAACGAAAAUUUGGAGACAUGAUGGGCCCUAGAUACAGUAAGAAGAGUAAGAGAAAAAAAUUAUGUCAUUCAUCACUUCUUGCUCAUUGGAUCUCUUCAUGUAUGGGUUUGUGAGAAACUAACCAAUAAAUGUUUCGCAACAUUAUCCCUUCUAUAAGAUAAAAGAAACAGAUCCUUCGUAGAAGGAUGAGUCCAUAUCACUCGAGGUUUGCUUUACCACCAGCUAACUAGAUCCAAUUCCACACUAACUAAGUCAGCUUGAAGGUUACCUACUUGAUAUUCUCCACUUAUGGGAGUAAAUUGUAUUAUUCAUUCUAUUAUGGUAACAAGGUUUUUAAUUGUAUGUUACAUAUAUAAAACAACAUAAUAACCUUAGGAGAUGGUUUUUGUGAAACCAAGGUUUGGUUAAUCUUGAUUUUGAUGAUAACAAAACAAGGUUUAGAACUAAUGAUCAUAUUUCAAGUGUGAUUAGGCAAGACGGUUUCCAAAGUGGCAAUUACAAAGAUAAAUCAAGCCAAGGAGAAAUCAUGAAGAAGAAGACCACCUCAAAGAAAAGAGUUUUUCAAGACCAAAGCUUCAUAAGAUCUCUUUGUAAGGUUGUUGGUGCACUAGAACUUUCAUACAUUUCAAUUCUUUAUUUAUGCACCAAAAUCAUCUAAGAGUAAUAAAACAAUCUUAAGAAUUGGAUGAUUUCAUGUUUUCAACUAAAACCUUGUGUUAAAUGAUUUUCAAACUUGUGUUAAAAGGUUUUAAGUUGAAAAAAGUUGGGUGUUGAGCCAAAAAAUGGCUCAACCGGUUCAACCGGUCAACCGGUUGUGCUCGUCCAGUCGAGGACCAGUUAAGGGAGGCCAAAAAGUUUUUCUCUCUCACAAUGACCUUUUCUUCCCGGUCAAGGUUGAACCUCAACCGGUUGAGGUCCGGUUGAGACCCAACAGUUACCUGCCAAGCAUUUAAUGCUAACGGUUAGUCAACCGGUCGAUCCCUAACUUGACCGGUCGAACCCCCAAUGGCUAGUUUGACUUUUUUCUUCUAUAAAAAGGCUCAAAUCUUCAUUGUUUCAAGAGCUUAACCUUCCAAAAUCUUUCUUGAUUAUAUUUGAGCCUUAGAAGAAUAUUUUUUAGUGCACCAUUUAAUCCUAGUUUUUCUUGUAUCAUUUGAGCUUAAAGUUCUUGUGCUAUGAUUUUUGAAGGAUCAUUCAUUUGUAAAUAUUUGAGAGGAAGUUUCUCAAGUGUGGGGUAUCACUUGAGGAAUUGUUCAAGAGUGGGAUAUCUCUUGAGAAGUGUAAAGGGUGCUUGAAGCCAAAAGUCCAAAAGGGUGAAUUAGAACCAUAAUCCAAUUGUAUUGCUUGAAGGUUUGGUUUGGAAGCCUUGGAUUAGUGGAACCUCAAGCUCGGGAUUGAAGUUAGAGGAGAGUGGAUGUAGGCCGGGUUGCGCCGAACCACUAUAAACUCUUAUGUUUGCAUUCUCUCUUCCCUACUCUUUAUUUUAUAUGCAAUUGUCUAUAUAUUGAUUAUUAUAUACUUACAUAUAAUUGUCUAUUGCAUUCACUUAUUUAAAUUUGCGAAAAGAGACCAUCACCCUAUUCACCCCCCCCCCCUCUAGGGUGAUUACCAUAGGUUGGAUUAGCCUCAAAUUUUUAACAGUUUUUAUUUAUGAGAUAUUGAUUUUUUUUUUUUACAAGGUUCUUUAAAAAAUCUCAAUUUUUUUGAAAAUAACAUAUUUAGCAUAUAUUUAUUUUGAAAAAUAUAUUUAACAUAUAAUUUUUAGUUGUAAAAAAAUUAACAUACUUAACAAAUAUUUAUUUUAACAUUUAAUUUUCAAUAUAAAAAUAUUAAUUUUAUUUUAUCAAUAAAAUAUUAAAAGUUAAUUUCAUCCUAAUUAUCAAAAUAGAAAAACAAACUAAACGUGUUUGUAACCCAAACACAUGUAAAACAUUUUAUUGGACCAAAAAAUAAAAUAAAAUAAAAUACGUCAAAUUACGCAAUAACAUACAUAGUAGUGAGCUCAAUAGUUUCUCAACAUCCAAACAAGAGAAUUACCAUUAGAUAGUUUUCUAAAAAUAUUUUAUAAAUUUUUGUAUUGUAUAUAAGUAUGUUGUAAUUCUAUGAAUAAUAAGUUGAGCCAAUUGUAUUUCAUAUUUCAUAUUUCAAUUCUCAAACAUAAAUUUGUUCUUAAAAACAAUUUUGAAGAACUAUAAAAUAGAGUUAGUUGACUAGUCUUUUUAUAUGUAAUAUAUGUUAUUGGAACUCGGGAACUUCCUUAGUAGCCUUUUAUUAUUUUUUUUUUCAUGUGUUUGUAUAGUCACCCAUAUUUUCAAACGUACCAUCAAUGCAACACUUUACUUAUUCAGACCUACUAUCAGUGUAACCCCCUACCUCUUUAGACCCACUAUCAGUACAACCCCCUAUUUCUUUAGACUUAUCUUCAAUUUAGGUCCCUAUUUCUUCAAACCCACCAUCAGCAUAACCCAUUGCCUCUUCAGACUCAUCAUCAGUACAACCCCCUAGCUCUUUAAACUUACCUCCAUUACAACCUUCUAUCACUUCAGACCCAUCAUCAGUGCAGAUUGACACAUCUACUCAGCUAGAUUUACCGUCAAUCAUUCCGAGGGGUAGGCGGGGUCUACGUCGACCUAGAUUGCUACCUCCACUACCAUCUCUAUUUCCAGCUCCAGUCCCAUCAUAGACAGAUGUUCUUCAUAUGUCACAUGCAAUACCUGUUACAGUUAGAGAUGAGCAUUCAAAAAGGAAGAUGGUACUAGUUACACAUAGGUUCUCUCAUUAUGGAGGCAUAUGAAAUUAUAUAUGUUUUUUUUUUUCCACUAUAUUAAUGUUGACUAGAUAUUUUUCGUGACUUUGAUUAAACUACUAAAAAUUACAAUUUGUAGUAAACUUUUUCUAAUUAAUUUCAUUAACUAAUUUUGUAGAAAAAUUUAUAUAUGAUAACUGCGACUUAAGAGUGUACUAUUAUUUCGAUAAAGAUAAAUUUUUCAUAAUACAAAUAAAUUAAUAUUUUAAAAAACAACAAAUUAAAUAUCUUAAAUUAAUAAAUUAUACAAUUUUAUAUAUUAUUUAUAUGUUAUAUAAGUUUAUUAUUUUAAGAUUAUUAAUUUAUUAAUAAAUAAAAUAUUUAUUUAUAAUAUCUUCUAUUUAUCAAUUUAUGUUUGUUGAAGUAAUACUAGAUUCUUAAGUUUAAAUAUAAAUAAUUUAUUAUUAAAGUACAUAUUUUUAAUUUCAAUAAUAAGUUAUAAUUUAAUAGUUUUUAAUUAAAUUUGAAAAUAAAAAAAAUUAUAAUUGAAAUCUUAAUUAGCAACAGCGGUUUAAAAGUAUACUAUUAUUUCGAUAAAGAUAAAUUUGUUAUAAUACAAUUAAAUUAAUAUCUUAAAAAAUAACAAACUAAAUAAUUGAAAUUAAUAAAUUAUACAAUUUUAUAUAUUAUUUAUAUGUUAUAUAAGUUUAUUAUUUUAAGAUUAUUAAUUUAUUAAUAAAUAAAAUAUUUAUUUAUAAUAUCUUCUAUUUAUCAAUUUAUGUUUGUUGAAGUAAUACCAGAUUCUUAAGUUUAAAUAUAAAUAAUUUAUUAUUAAAGUAUAUAUUUUAAAUUUCAAUAAUAAAUUGUAAUUUAAUAGUUUUUAAUUAAAUUUGAAAGUAAGAAAAAAAAUUAUAAUUGAAAUCUCAGUUAGCAACUACGGCUUAAAAGUAUAUUAUUAUUUCAAUAAAUAUAAAUUUGUCAUAAUACAAAUAAAUUAAUAUCUUAAAAAACAAUAAAUUAAAUAUCUUAAAUUAAUAAAUUAUACAAUUUAUAUAUAUUAUUUACAUGUUAUAUAAGUUUAUUAUUUUAAUAUUAUUAAUAAAUAAAAUAUUCAUUUAUAAUAUCUUCUAUUUAUCAAUUUAUGUGUGUUGAAGUAAUACUAGAUUCUUAAGUUUAAAUAUAAAUAAUUUAUUAUUUAAGCAUAUUUUUUAAAUUUCAAUCAUAAAUUGUAAUUUAAUAAUUUUUAAAUUAAAAAAAAUUAACUAAAGUUUCAGUUGGAAACUGCGACUUUAGUUCAAAAAUGAAACCUCGGUUGACAACUGCGAAUUUAGUUAAAAAAAAAUAAAGCCUCAGUUGGCAACCAUGACUUUAGUUAAAAAAUGAAGUCUCAAUUGCCAAUUGAAACUUUAGUUUAAAAAUGAUGCCUUAGUUGGUAAUUGCAGCUUCAGUUCAAAAAUGAAGCCUCAAUUGACAACUGAGGCUUUAACUAAAAUGAUGAAAAAAAUAUAUUUUUUAAUGACAUGACACCUACGUGGCAACAAAGAGGUCAAUUUGAACAUAAGUUUCAAAAAGUGGUUAGAUCUUAUAUUUUUUUUAAUAAAUGGGUCAUUUUUACCCAAAACUCAACAUUCGGGAUGUACGAUAGUUUUACUGUGCUUACAUGUGACUCCUGCGAUUCUAUCUUGUCAUUUCUAGGUGUUCCCCAGUCAACCUAAGAAUUGUGCAUGUUUGAACGAUUAUUAUUAAUAUUUGGGUUGGAAAAGAGGUUGGUUUGUUAUCACAUAACUCAAUUUGAAUUAAAUUUAGAUUAAGAUUCUAAUAACUCGAAUAUAACAGAAUCUAAUUUAAUAAUUUUAUAAUAUUAAUAAUACAUAUUAUCUUAUAUAUUGAUUAUUUUUUAUAUAUAUACUUAAGAAAAAAAAUACCACAUUAUAAUUAUAUUAUGUUUUUCAUUUUUUUAAAUGAUGCAUACAUGUAAUUUUACUUUUUUGUCAUUAACUUACCAAUUUAAAUCUUAAUAUAAAUAUACAAAAAAAAUUAAAAACAAUGUGGAUAGACUUUUAAUUAUAUAAUCUAAUAAAUCCAAUCAACUUGAGUUUAACCUAACUAAUUCAGGUCUAUUCCGACCAAUAUGAACUCAAUUGAAGUUUAAAAAAAUGAUUUUGAUUAAACUUGGAUGGAGUGUUUUGGGUUAUAAGUGAAUGCAGUUGAGUUGAUUGUUUUUUAAUUCGAGUUAGGUUUGAGUUAGUCAUCAACCAAACUUAACCCACCUAAGUUUCGGUCUUCAUUUUUAUUUUAUUUUAUUCAUUUCAUCUAGACAUAACAUUCGACACUAACAUUGGUGCCACCAUUAAAAGAAUGUUGAUGUGUCAAAUAAGUCUUCCAUUCAUGUUAUUUAAUUAGUAAACUAAUAAUUUUAUUCCUAUGGAGAUGAAUGGUUUGAUUGAAAAGGCACAAUGACCUACUAUAAUAUGGGUUGAGCUUUGGAAGCCCACGUUAACCUUGUGUUAUGUGUUCUUCAUUUGGUUGACAAGUAGAAUCGUGCUUUAAGUGAGAUGUGCUUCCAUUAUUAUGAAAAAUAACAUAAUCGGCUACAGAGGGUGACUACAUUAGUAAAAUUAAUUUUGAUGCCUAUUAUAAGAGACGACAAAUAAUGGUACAUAAAGAUAAAGAGUGAGUUAAAUUACCCUUGGUAAUAAUCCGUGUAGGCAUUUAAAGACAUUCAAUUAGGUCAGUUAAGACCAACGGGCAUCUCGAUGAUUGAAUAAUGUACAAUGUUCACAUCUUAUUAAUUUUUCAUCAAAUAAUAAUCACAAGUCUUUUGAUAUAGAGAUAAGGUUUUAAGCAUACCAUAAUUAUGAAGAAAAUGUUUGAUUGCUUUUAAUAUUCAUCUCAUCAAUUGGUUAGCAAGCCAUCUCAUAUGAAAGGUAGACAUUAAAGGAGUAAUACAUUUGUACUCUUAAAAGGCAACCAGGUUAUCUCUUUCUCAGUCUACACAUACCCCGAUUUGACAUACAUCAAUCAUUUCUUACAUCUCCACAACUCAUAACCCCCAUCCUCUUUAAUUUCAUUUUCCUACAUGGGAGUUAUUGGGAAGAAAAAUCGAAAGUUGACAUAGUAACAAGUGCAUUCCCCAAUGAUAAGCAAAACAAGAUGAUUAUUGUCUCAUCUUGAUUUUUGAAAUGGUCUUUAGUUUGCUACAUGUAUAAAAGACAUUUUCCUGUUGUAUUUUUUUCUUUUUCUUAUUUUUCCUAUCUUCGACUUAUUCCAUGCUCUUAUGAUUCCACUUAUCCACUUCUCUCUAACCAUGCACUCAUCACUUUUAUUUAAGGUAUCUGUCAUGGUUGUUGAUGAAGUUGUCAUGUUGGUCUAUUGAUUUAAGAUAUUUUAUUAUGUGAAUGUUGAAUGUCUUUUCCAUAAGGACCAAUUACGACCCUUGCAUGUCGAUGAGGGUUGCAUUCUAAUUGAACACCUAAAAGUUAGGCUUCAUCUUUCUUCUUCCUCCAUUUUGAGGCCUUUUUAAAGAUAUAUGAAGGUGUUAUUACAUUGGUUCAAUCCCAAACUACAAGUGUUCUCAUGGUAAUCGUAGUGAUGAAAAUGACAUCUAAUUACCACAUGAGAUUAAGGGAAUUGUUAUUACUAUAUCAAGUUAAAAGGCAUAGUGUUGUUUUUAAAAGAAUGUUGACGUGUCAAAUAAGCCUUCCAUUUAUGUGAGCAACUAGACAAUUAAAACGAGGGUUCAAAAUUGUACAAGAAAUAUAACUUAGCAUGACAUCUUUGUGUUUAUAUCCAAGGAGCUUCGUGAAACGCAUGUAUAGUGGUUUGUUUGCGGUGAUCAAAUAGGCGAUGAAUAAAGCAUAUUUCUUGACAUAUCUUUGCAAUAUUUGUAAAGCUUUAGAUAAGAUGUUUCUUUUAUUAGGAAAGUGAUGUUCAUGGGUAAACCUACAUGUUGUUUAAUUAAUAAACUAAUAAUUUUAGACCCAUGAAGAUGAAUGGUUUGAUUCAAGAGGCAUAAGAGCCUAAUGUAAUUUAGGUUGAGCUUUGGAAGCCCACGUUAACCUUGUGUUACGUGUCCUUCAUUUGGUUGACAAGUAGAAUCGUGUUUCAAGUGGCAUGUGUUUCCAUCCCUACGAGAAAGAACAUAAUUGAUUAAAGAGGGUGACUAUGAUAGUAAAAUUAAUUUUAAUACUUAUUAUAAGAGUCAACAAAUAAUAGUAACGAGAGAAAAUGACUGUGAGAUUACCCUUGGUUGUUAUCUAUGUAAGUAUUUAAAAGCAUUUAAUUAGGCUAGUUAAGACCAAUGGGCAUUUCAAUGCUUGAAUAAUGUACAAUGUUCAUACCUCAUUACUGUUUCAUCAAACAAUGAUCACAAGCCUUUUGAUAUGAGAGUAAGGCUUUAAGCAUGCCAUAAGUAAGAAGAUGUCUAAUUGCAUUUAAUGUUCAUCUUAUCAAUUGGUUAGUGAGUCAUCUCACACGAAAGAUAGACAUCAAAGGAGUAAUACAUUCGUACUUCUAAUAGACAACUAAGUUAUCACUUUCUUAAGUUUAUGCAUGCAUUGAUUAUCUCUUACGUCCCCACAAUUCCUAAACCUCCUCCUCCCUUCUUCUUUAAUCUUAUUUUCCUACAUGAGAGUUAUUAGGAAAGAAAAUCAAAAGUUCAUAGUAACAAAUGCAUUCCCCAAUAGAUUUGAUAAGUACGAUAAGAAUAUUACUCUCUCGUCUUGAUUUUUGCAAUGAUCUUUAGUCUACUACCUAUAUAAAACGUAUUUUCUUGUUGCAUUUUUUAUUCCUUUUAUUUUUCCAAUAUUCAACUUCUUACACGCUCUUGUGAUUCCACUUCUCUAGUUCUUACUGCUCAUGCACUCAUCACAUUAGUUUAAGGUACUUGUCAUGGUUGCUAAUGAAGUUCUCGUGUUGGUCCAUCAAUUUAAGAUAUUUUCUUAUGUGAAGGUUAUAUGUCUUUUCCAUAAGGACAAAUUAUGACCCUUACAUGUUGAUGAGGGUUACAUCCUAGUGAAGCACCUACAGUUAGGCUUCAUUUCCCUUCAACAUUCCAUUUUGAGGCAAUUUUUUUAGCUUUAUGAAGAUGUUAUUACAUUGGUUCAAUCCUAAACUACAAGUGUCCUUAUGGUGACAUUUAAUUACCACAUGGGAUUAGGGGAACUUUUAUUACUCAAUCAAGUUAAGAGACAUAGUGUUAACACUUGGUACAUAUUUGUGAUGAUGAAAAUUAGUGUAUAAUGCAUAUACCUCAUUAAUGCUGUGUCAAGUGAUGGUUAUAGUUCCCAUAAUUUGGACUUAAGGUAUUACACACAUCAUAAUAAUAAAAAAUGCGUUCAAUCACAUUUAGAAUCUGUUUGGUAGUGAUUAUAGAUAGCGCUUUUAAUAUUUUUAAUAUUUGAAAAAUUGUAUCAUUUAAGUGUUAAAAAUGUUUUCUAAAAUCAUUCCUAAACGUACUCUUAAUGUGAAUUUCAUCACAUUAAACACUUUAGUAAUCAUUGUGAAUCUCAUCGAUGGUUAAUAUGUCGAUUGAUUGUUCAAUAUCUCGUGUCUAAUCAUUUUUUUUCCUUUAUGUUUUGAUAUAAAACUAAAGUUGAAAUCAUUUGUACUUUAUGUUCUAAUCUUCAUUAAAUACACUUAAUACCUAUUAAAAAUUACAUUCAUUUCAUACUAUACUUGUCCUAUAUGGUAGUUAAAUUCAAAUUUUCAUCAAUUGUGACCAUGGAAGGCAUUGAUUAACCUUUGAAAAAGCAUUUAAAAAUUGCAAAUAUUACCUAAGAAAUUAAAUGUAGGUUGGAGGACCCCUUAGUUCAUAAAUUAUUAAACCUAAUGUAAAAGAAGCUUGAGAACAUCCUUGUAGACCUAUUUUGCUGAACCAUAACAAAAUCACUAUUAUAUUAUUUAUUUGUAUAUUUAUUUUUGAUAAUUUAUUUGUUGGUUGCAUACUUGCCCACUAGAAUUGGAGUCUACCAUUUAUAUUUUAGGGGCACAAGUUUGGUCCAUUGACCCAAAACCCAGCAAAGCUUACAUCUAAGCUCAAGUCAAAAUUAUUUGGCUUUUCUAAGCAUCAGCCUGGCCCAUGAAGUUCUCUUUAAAUUCCUCCAUGAAGACAGAUUGAAGUAGGCAUAUUUUCAAGGUUGAAAUAAUAACAUUUUAUUAAACGUUUGGGCCUAGAGUUGGGCUUAGUUUAUGGAUCAAAUUUUCAGCUCAAUCCGAGCCCAAGAGGGCGAAGGCCUGCCCAACAUGGCUUAUUUACAUGCCUAGCAUCACCAUUUACCAAGAUGCAAAUGAAACUUUAGGCUUAAUUUAAAUCAUGGGUGGUGCUAUAGCAAGGAAACAAAUUAUGCUCUUUCACUCCCAUGUGUUUUCUUAUUUUUUAGAGUUAAUUGGUUAAAAAAGGGAUGAAAUAAUCUUCAUAUUUGUGAAUUUAACCUCUUUCAUUUUUUUUUGAAAAAUAAUUCAUUUAUGAAAUAAAUAUCUUUAUUUAUUUCAAGUAUUUACACGUAAGUUUUAAAAGAAAAAAUUAUUUUUACAAAAAAAAUAAUUAGGACAUUUUUAUCAAAAUGUGGUCAUAAAAGGAUGGAAGGUUAGAUUUCUAAAAUUAGGUUUCCAAAUGACCAUUUUAAUUAAAUAACAUUUUUUUUAUUCUGCAAAAUCGAGUUUAAAAUGAAGCAAAAUAAAGAAUAAAUUUAAAUUUAAUAACUUUUUUUUUUUCCAUAAGGAAGAUAACAAAACAAAUAAAAAAAAUUAGUGAUUGUUUUUUUUUUUUUCAAUUUUUUAAUUUUUUUUUAACCUAAAAUAUAGUCAUACUUAUAUAAAAAGUGUGGGCUUAACUUUAUGUCCUUAAAAAUUGUUCUUAAAAUUUAUAAAAUUUUAAUUAAUAAAGUCUAUAACAAGGAAAGAAAAAAGAGAACCUCUCGCUGGGUCCUGCAAUCCUUUGCCCAUUCCCUUUUCCAAGCAGUUAUGUUAUGAUGGGUUAACCAAAAGGGAGUAACCACUAAGUUUGAAGGGGGCCAACGGUCAUAUUCUAGUAUUUCAAAUUCAAAAUCCGUCCGCUCAUUUGAUUUGAACAAAUAGAAGCCAUGAGAGGGUUUAUUUGGGUCGAACCGACCCAACCUGACACCAGGAACGCACGUGAUGAGGACUAUUUAUCACGUGACAGGCCUCUAUUUGAAUUCGGACCCAGCGACUUUCUCCAAAUCAGUUUAAUUAUCGAUCCUCAUACAUCACCCCGUUUGUCCCUUCCGCUCAAUUCAAAAAACCAAAGCCCUCCAUCUUUCUCUCUCCUCCUCCCAUAGCCGUUCCCUUCAACCUCUCGUUUCCUCUUCCUCCCAUUUCCACAGGUAUGUCAUCUCAUCCACGCUGAAACGGAUCCGUUUUAUCAGAUCCAUCAUUCCUCAGCUCACGACCUUUCUUUUCAAAUAUCCAUAGGCAUUCUCCUUCUGGGGAUCUCCGAUGGCAUGCUGAUCCGAUUAUUCUGUUCAUCAUUUGUGUAUUUUAGCCCCUAAUUCAUCAUUUUCUUCACAUUUUUGGGUUAAAGUCCGAGAUAGAAGGUGGAGAUGGAAGUUUCCCGUGCGGAAUGUGUUCGCGUUGCGGUUAACAUAAGACCACUCAUUACAUCAGAGCUUCUCAUUGGCUGUACAGAUUGCAUAACAGUGGUUCCUGGAGAGCCACAGGUAUGGUGUUUAAUUGAUAAGAAAAUGCAAGAUAGGAAUAAGAAUUGAGAUUUUUGAAUCUUAGGGUUUAUUGUUUGGAACAAGGAAAAACUAGAAUGAUUUUAGCUUUGGUGUGUUUUUUGUUUUAUAAGAAUAAAAACUAUUCAGAAUUAAGAAUCCUAUUUUCUUUUAUCAUUAGUCUGUUUCUUGUCUAGCAAAAAUAUAAUAAAAUAAAAUAAAAACAAUCAUUACUCAGUUUUCUGAGAAACAAAUGAAGGGUUGAAUUGAUGUAUUUUGAGAUUAACUUCCAGAUUUCUUGAUCUUAGUGUUUGAUUUGUAAUUGUUAUUGGGUGCACGACCAGGUUCAAAUUGGAUCCCAUGCAUUCACAUUUGAUUAUGUUUACGGCAGCACUGGAUCUCGAUCUUCUGCAAUAUUUGAUGACUGUAUUUAUCCACUCCUUGAUGCACUUUUCCAUGGCUACAAUGCAACAGUUCUUGCAUAUGGCCAGGUUUAAUAUUUGUUUAGUCAUUUUAGUGGAUUCUUAAUUAAAUUAAAUUUUCAUGUUUUGGAGCUUUUAUGGCUGACUCAGCUCUCUUUGGCAUGCAAGACGGGCUCGGGGAAAACAUACACAAUGGGAACCAAUUAUACAGGAGAAGAAAGUAGUGGUGGAAUUAUACCAAAAGUUAUGGAAAGUAUAUUUUCAAGAGUGGAGGCCAUGAAAGACUCCACCGAAUUUUUAAUUAGAGUAUCAUUUAUCGAGGUAACAUAAGCUUCUUUAUCAGUUUUCUUCUUUUCUUUAUCUGCCCAUAUAGUGCGUGAUUACGUCCUUACAUGUAAUUUCAAUAAUUGACAGAUUUUUAAGGAAGAAGUAUUUGAUUUGCUUGACCCAAAUUCAUCAGCUACCUCCAAAGUUGAAGGGGUAUGUGUAACUAAGCCUACUGGACCAGCAAGAGUGCCUAUACAAAUUAGAGAAACAGUAAGCGGGGGCAUAACCCUUGCUGGCGUGACAGAAGCAGAAGUUAGGACAAAAGAAGAAAUGGCAUCAUACCUAUCACACGGUUCCACAGCUCGUGCUACUGGAAGUACUAAUAUGAAUAGUCAAUCAAGGUACCCAUUUCAUAGAGUUAUGCAUGUGUGAGUUUAUGGUGUUUUCUAAACUAUUGCAGACGGUUUAAUAUAGUCCAUAUCCACUUGGCUUAUUGCAAAGUAGUUUUAAUUGAAACAUUUAAAUCGUGCAUUAUGGUUAUUAUUGCUAGUGAUGUUUCUCUAUUAAUUAUGCAAAUCUGACUAGUAGAACUAUUCUUGUGUUUCCUAGGCACCAUUGAAGAAUCAGUGUUAAGUCAUGUUGAGUAUAAUUUUUUGUUCUCCCUAGUCCCUUUAGUACAUGAAAAAUAUAAUGUUCAUGUUAGAAUAUGUUAUACAUUGUGGACCUAAAAUAGAAGUUUUUAGGAAAGUUAGUAGUUCAACAUGGUUAGAGCAUGCUAUACAUAGUGGGUUCAAAUCCUAGCAGCUUAAACUUUUAGGAAAUUAGGUAGUUCAAUAUGGUAUAAGAGCUUUGGUUAAGUGGAGAUCUUGGUUUUAAGUACACCAUCCCCCCACCCACAUCUUUUAUCAUUUGUAGAAGGAAUCUAAAAUUGUCAAGUUACCCUGCUUCAUGACCAGUGGACAUGCCAUGUAUAUCCCUGACAUUAGCUCUGGCUCAUGGCAAAGUGACCAAACACCUUUAAGAGCUUUCCAAGCCAUUCUCACUAUUUUUGGGGGAAAUGUUAAGCAUCCCUCAGAGACACUUGUAGAGUUUGCUGAUAUUCAAACAGGUGUCCAUGGGAGGUUGCCUUAAAUAGGCUUUCUCUCCUGAAUCAACUCAUUGUAGAUGCUACGAAUAAAAAACAGAAUCACUCUCAAUGUAAGUUAUUCUGUAGUUUUUCAGCUGAGCUUUCUUUCUACACGCUUUGCUUUUUUUGAGGAUGAACCUUCACAACCCAACCCAACAACAAACCCCAACUCCACCCACUCCCCUUGGUAUGAGAGUAUGGACUGAACAUCAAUAUGUAUCUUGGAAGUUUUUAUUUAGGUAUUAUGAGGUUAAAAGAUGCUGGAUGUAAUUUGAUUAUGAGAGCGUGACUUCUAUUUACCCUGACUGUUUAAACAGCUCAUGUAGAUUUGCCAGCGAAAUCAAACUGCUGUCAUCCCUCUUUCAUGGAACAUAUUAAAAAAUGGAAGGCAUGCCAGUUUUGAAGGAUUAAAUUUUGCCUUGAUUGCACUCAAGAAAUUUUUUUCCCUGUUUAUUAAGCACAUGCUCUUACUGACCAGGGUCUCUCACAAAGUAGCCAUAUUGUACAUUGUGUGUGCUAGUUAAAUGGUUGAAGAUUGAGUAAUAAAAUGGCAGUUUGUGACUUCUUAUAGUUGAAGGCUACAUAACUAAGCACUAAAAUUUAAUAUCGAUAUUGCUCUAUGUUGUUGUGAUAUACUGCCUUACCAACAUAUACAUGAGAUCUCGGUCUUAGCAACCUCAAAAGCAAAAUAAACUUAGAAUGAUAAUUGGUGCUUACAACAGAGCUGUUAGUCUCUGCUCGAGAGUAUAAUUUUAAAAGGGAUUCUAAAAUAGAAGUGAGCUUAUCUAGGUGUCCCACUAGACAAUGGGCAUUCCACAAGAUAUGACUCUAACUUCAAAAUUUUUCAUUUUUCAUUGUCCUUCCAAAUGAAUUAAGUAGGUACUAAGUUCUCUAAUUGAGGAUAAGGCCAGCCAGAAAUUUCUCAUGUAUUCUUAUGCUCAUAUUUUCAUCUUGUAGUUUCAUUACAAACGGAAAGAAUCAGUUUGGGUCCUGACUGAUUCUUAUCAAAAUUGAUAGAGAUCGGGUUUCAAAAUAACCUUACUUAACAUAAUCAUCAACAUAUCAUUGAAAAGGAAUUUAUUUAUUCUCUCUCAACCUUCCUUGUCAAGGAUUGAAUUAGUUAGAGGCCUUCUUGCUGAUACUUAUCCAAUCAACAAAGUUACCUCAAGCAACUAUCUCUAGGAAGUUUCCUUAUAUUAAUCUAGUUUAUGAUAUGUUCAAGGUUAAAUUGCUUUCCUUGGUUAAUCUUACAUUUGUCUUGUGUGUGUAUGCUUCCUACUAUAGAAUUUAAUCCAACAAAACAAUGUCAAAUUUAUCUAUCUUUACAUUCACUUGUGACUUUUUAUUUUUGGUGUUUGAUUUUCCCUCAUAACCACAAAUUUUCUUUUCUUUAUUAGAUAUUAUACCAUAGUUUCAGUUUUUCUACUUGGGUUUUCAUUGUGUUUCAGUCGCUCGCAUGCCAUUUUCACAAUAUCUAUGGAGCAAAAGAAAAUUGCUCGUGUUGGAGUAAGUAAUGAUGAUGUGGGAGAUGAUAUCCUAUGUGCAAAACUCCAUUUAGUGGAUCUUGCUGGUUCUGAACGAGCAAAACGGACAGGAGCGGAUGGGAUGCGAUUUAAAGAAGGUAUUAAUUUCAAAACAUGCCUAAUUUGAGAAUGGAAUGGUGGGAAGAGGAAUGCUGUCAAAAUUUUCUACUUCUUUUCUUCUAAAUAUGAUGAUUAUUAUUUCAAGUUUCUUCAUUACCUUUCAACUUUUGAAGUACUAAGUCAAUAUUAGUAUUAUUAUUUUCGUUUUUGAUAAAAUGCUAAGUUGUUUUCUAAUGGUGUACAUGAUCAAGGAAUUCAUAUUAAUAAGGGAUUGCUUGCUCUUGGCAACGUGAUAAGUGCCUUGGGAGAUGAGAAGAAGCGGAAAGAAGGAGGUCAUGUUCCAUAUCGUGAUAGCAAGUUGACACGCCUAUUACAGGCAUGAGAACUAAAUAUUUCUUUCCUUUUUCCCUCUUUACAUUGGAUUUGUCAGUGUAUCGUUUCAAAUUGUGUUAUCCAUAGACUAUGUAUUGCUCUUAACAAAACUUUGAACAUCCUGUCCAUAUAUUCAAAUGAUUUUCUCAAAAGAUAGGAAUUGGCAUGCACUCCACAUUUUAAACCUCGACUCUUCAUAAAAAACAAAUAAAAUGGAUUAUAUAGAAGAAUAUGAUCCAUGAAUCAUAAUUUAUGAAAUGAUUCGAGGUUUAAACUCUUAAAGGUUGUUUUUGUGUCUUGUGGAGAUUUAGUGCACCAUAUUUUUCAUACCGCUAUAAUACCCAAUUUUAAGGUGUAACAUGGAGAGAUCACCAUAAGCACCAAAGAAAAACUAAGUUCAUUUAUUGAUAAUUGAAGGAAAAAACACAAAGAAUUCCUCAAUAUGCUUCAAAACACAAAUUCAGAUGCUUAUUGGGAGUUUUGAUGUUCUAGGAUUCUCUUGGAGGAAACAGCAAAACCGUCAUGAUUGGUAAGUACAUAAAUGUCUUCAUCAUGUUCAGCCUGUAUAAAACAUUUUGGAACUACUUAAGGCAUCUUAUAUUGUUCUCUUUCAUGACUCUAUUUUUCCUUCCUUUUUCUAAAUGUACAAAUACAGCUUGUGUUAGUCCUGCUGAUACAAAUGCAGAAGAGACCUUAAACACUUUGAAGUAUGCAAAUCGUGCUCGAAAUAUUCAGAACAAGGCAGUUGUAAGUUUCCUCUUCAAAGAUUAUUAUUAUUAUUAUUUUACGAUGUGGCUUCCCAUUAUUUUUUCCUGCUUGUAGAUCAACCGUGAUCCAAUGGCAGCUCAAAUGCAAAGAAUGCGGAGCCAAAUUGAGCAAUUACAGUCUGAGCUUCUUUAUUUCCGUGGCGAUGCUGGUGCUCCAUUUGAGGAACUUCAGGUACUAUAAGUAAAAGAGUGGUUACCAUGAACUCCUUAUAUAUUAAUUUUAGGUGUUAAAUUCAUUUUCCCUUUUCUUUUUCCCAGAUUCUCAAGCACAAAAUUUCUUUGCUUGAAGAGAGCAAUGCUGAGCUACAAAGGGAGCUUCAAGAGCGCCGAAUCACCUGUGAUCAUUUAACACAACGUGCUCUUGAUGCCCAGGUUUGUUUCAUUUGUUUCCACUGUUGUUAGAUGCUUUCAUAAGUUUCUCAAAACAUUUCUGCUGUGUUGUUUCAAAUGAUUUCACUCAUGGAUUGAAUAUUUUAGGUUGAAAAAGACAAAUUGAUUAUGAAAAUUGAAUCAGCCAGAAAUGGGAAAUCUUGGGAUGAGAUGGAGUCUGAUUCAGAUCAGGUUUGAGUAAAUUGGUUCAUUGCAUGGCACAUUUAACAGAUGCAUGUAUUGCAACUUUUUGAGAAACAUUUUUUUUCUGACAUAAUUUUGCGUACUCUUUUUCAGAAUUUUAGUCUGCUAAAAUCCUAUGUGUCAAAAAUUCAAGAAUUAGAGGGUGAAUUGUUGCACCUACAAAGUUUGAAUAGCUCAAAACAUAGUGAUUUUGUUGUUGAUGGCACUGACUUGGAUGAUGAUAGUCUCCGCGCAAAAAAUGCAUAUUUCAGAAGCCUUAAUGAGCUUUCAUCAGCUUGUGAUACAAAAGGUGCUGAUCACUAAUUUAUUUAUUUGUUUCUUUUGCUUGAUUUUUUUCUAGAAAAUUCAUAGUUCUAGGUGGGGCUUGUUUGUGGGGGUGGUUAGGGGGUUGUAGGAUAUAAAAUCAGUCUUUGACAUUCUUGUAUUUAUGAUGGAACUUCAUUAUCAAACAUUGGCUAUGACAAUUUUGGUCUUGGCUUAUUAAUUUUCCAGCUUGAUAUUUACUGACUUGCAAAUUUACAUUGGUGUGACUGCCAUCCAGGUGAGAUUGAAGAUGAUGAAAAGGAGUUAGAAUACACUUCCCUUCAAGAAAAAUUUGAUAUGGAGCUCAAAGAGUUGGACAAAAAACUUGAACAAAAAGAGGUAAAUCAUAAAUGGUUGCUGACCUUUUCAUUGGCUGGGACUCUUAUACCUUUUCAAAAAUUACAAACUUUUAGUUGGCUGAGACUUUAUUACUUGUAUGAAAAUGCUGAUUUAGAAAUUGGAGGAAAGUUUCUGCCAAAAUUUUCACAUAAAUGCGAUUAGUGUACAUCUGGGGCUUAAGUGGGAUUGCAGAAUAGGUUUGCUGAACAGACUCCCAAACCAUUAAACCAGGGAGCAAAUAUUUUGGAUAAUUAAAUGAGUGAAAACACAAUUUCAUAGGAAUGGCUCAAAUAGAUCUAACUUUAUAAUUAUUCAUUAUAUAAGGAAGAAAAUACUGAAGUUACAGUUCACUAAAUGGGUGUAAGAGCAAUGUCAUGGGCAUGCAAAGUCCUUAAGAGGCACCUAAUAUUCAAGGAAACACUAUGUAUAUGAAUUUCUAGUAUCCAUUUUUAUGUAGGUGUUGCUUGUUUUUUCAUUCUCUUCUGCUUUGGUUCCUUUGUUCAUUUCGAAUUUAUUUUAUUAUGCAAGGCUGAAAUGAAGCGGUUUGCAAGUGCUGAUACAUCAGUUCUUAAACUACAUUAUGAGAAGAAACUUCUGGAAUUGGAACAAGAGAAGAAAGCGUUGCAGGUAAUUGUUCUGUUCAUCAUAAUUAUUCUGUAAGUUAAGGUUAUUACUUAAAUAUUGCUUCUUUUUUUUUUUGUCAAUUGUUAGAAAGAGAUUGAGGAGCUGAGGCAUGACCUUGCAAGUAUUUCUUCCACUUCUGAUGAUGGUGCCCAAAAAUUAAAGGAAGAUUACCUUCAAAAAUUGAAUGUACUUGAAAAACAGGUGAAUCUGGAAUUCCUUGCUCCUUUCAAUGGUAAUUUCAUAUCUUAUAAUAUCAGAUUCUACAUUGCAGGUUUCAGAGUUGAAGAAGAAACAAGAUGCGCAAUCUCAACUCUUAAGACAAAAGCAAAAAAGUGAUGAGGCUGCAAAACGGUUACAGGAUGAGAUUCAGAGAAUAAAAUCCCAAAAGGUUCUAUUUUGUCAUUGAUGAAACUUGUCUACUUGCAAAAUGAAAAUCAAUUUGCUCUAACCAUCAAUGCUAUUUUAUCUAGGUUCAAUUGCAACAUAAGAUCAAGCAAGAAUCUGAGCAGUUUAGGUUAUGGAAGGCAUCGCGGGAAAAAGAAGUUCUUCAGGUACAUGCGUGCGUCAUUACAAAAUAUAUUUACACUUUUUGUUUUCAUCUUUACGGGCUUGAUUUAUGGUUGUAUAAAAUUUCAGAGGUACAAUUGCUUAAAAAAUCUUUUUAGUAGAAAUUUUGGUUAGUUUAUUUGCUCAUUAAAGAUUCAGUAUAGCAUAUAUGCUUCAAAAGUGGAAUCUCUUUUUCAAUAGCUCCAAAUUUACAAUCUGAGUGCUGUUUCUAACUCUGUUGAAUCAGCCCUUUGACAUAUUUGGGUGAAAACACUGAACUGUGUAUGUGUCAUGUGUUUGCAUAUUAUUUGUUUAAUUUUUUGCUUUGGCAAGGUUUUUUCAGAUUAGAUGUUAUUAUAAAUAUCUGGUCAAUGUUGAUUUGAUGAUCUGAGUUCUUUUAUGUUUUUUAAUCAAUUACCUAUGCAACUUGUUGUGAACCAUGGCUAUUUCUUUCAGUAAAGUAACAACAGAAUGAUGGUUGGAAGAAAGAAAAGAGAAUAGCCUUAAUUGAAUUCCUGCCCUCUUCUAAAUUGAAUUUUUGACGUUCAAAUUCAUUGAGCUUAGUUUAUUAGUGGACAUAUUGUCUUAUACCCAGAAAAAGCAUAUUUCCUGUUACAUUUAUGGAUGAAAAAGAAAACUAAGGUGACUUUGUUACUGUAAUUUAAAUUUCAAAUCAUUCUUGGCUUUUCCCAGUUUGAAUAAAUUGUAGUCCUCCUAGUGGAGAAUGGUAUGAACUUGGGAACAUGGGAUAGAUCUUUUCUAAAGUACUCUCCUUUACUAAAUGCUAGGUUUACAUUUAUAACUUGUUUUGCUAAAUCUUGUGGUUCUUGUUUUAUCUUGGUUUUCAGUUAUGUGGAAGCGUUUAAUCUCUUUGGCAAUAUUUUUUUCUGUCAACAGCUUAAGAAAGAGGGAAGGAGGAACGAGUAUGAGAUGCAUAAGCUAUUAGCUUUAAACCAAAGGCAAAAGAUGGUAAAUAAUCACCCCUAAGCUGCUAUGAUCUUCCUUGUUAAGGAGAACUUCUCACUUUCAUUUGUUCAUGUCAGGUUUUGCAACGAAAGACUGAAGAAGCUUCUAUGGCAACAAAGAGACUAAAAGAACUAUUAGAAUCUCGAAAGGCAUCAUCACGCGAAACAUUAGGUAAGGAGAUGUUACUGCUUCAUGCAGUUCACAUUUACUGAAACUACGUAUAAUUCAUCGGGCUAGGAGACCUUACUUCUUUGUGCAGUUCACAUUUACUGAAUCUACUUAUAAUUCAUUCUUGAAUUUUACUAAUGUAGGUGCUGGGAAUGGAAAUGGUCCUGGAGUUCAGGUAUCUUACCUAAUUUGAGAGUAUUGAGUUCUGUAUUUAUUGAAGACUGCAUUAUGUUUGUGUAUCAUGUCUUUUCCUGUGCCUGAGAUGAGGAUUGGGUUAGCAUUUCAGCAUAUCUUCUUGUUUGGAUGCCUGUCUGAGUAGGGAUUUGGUUAAGUACUACAGGUUUGUUUCCAGCACACUUCUUACUAACACAUUAUUUUAUAUUGAGAAGGCCCUGAUGCAGGCAAUUGAGCAUGAGCUUGAAGUCACAGUACGGGUACAUGAAGUGCGUUCUCAAUAUGAGCAUCAAAUGGAAGAGUGAGUGUUAUUAUUUUUUCUUUUUGCUACAAGAAAUCAACUCAGAAAUCUUUUAACUGUUUAACAUUAGGCUCUGUUGUUUGUUAGCAACUGAUAAAAAAAUGUCUAAAAGGGCUGAUGUCAGAUCUAUUUUGUUGAGACCAAGUUUCUAUCAAGUUUCAGGAGAAACAAACUGGAGUUCUCUAGCAUUUUAGCAUAAAAAAAUUCAAUUACUUUUGGGGAUGAUGAUUUGGUUUAAGUGGGCUUUUGUUGAUGGAGGAUCAUUCAGGUAAAAAUUGGCUUUAGUAUAAUCAAGAAGGAGAAGUUCAUCCUUAACAAUGGCAUAAAUGCUUGAAGUUUAUUCUUCAUUCUCUUCAUCAGUCUGAACCAUUAUCUACAUCUUUUAAGUUUCCAGUUUACUCGUAUUAGGUAAAAUUUUAAUAUAAGGAUUUGGGUUUACUCAAGCACAAUAAUCUUGUGUUUGCAUGUUUUUAAUUUUGAAAAUAUGUAUGGAGAAAAGCUUUUGAAAUGGCCUAUUUAGUCUAAAUGGUACAUAAUGUUGGUUUAAGCAUAUCUUCUGUGUAUUGCAGGAGAGCUAGGAUGGCCAGGGAGGUUGCAAAACUGAAGGAAGAAGCAGAUAUGCUGAAGCAAAAAGAUUUUGGGUGAGAAAUUUGUUGCUGAAAGUUGUUCUUUCUGCUAGUUUGUACUGCUUUCUUUUGACAUUAUUUUCCUACCAAUAGUUAGUGAACACCUUUUUCUGAAUGGAAUUGCAGAAGUUUCCCUGAGACAAUGUCUCCUGGUGCAAGAAAUUCUAGGAUUUUUGCUCUUGAAAACAUGCUCACUACAUCGUCUAGCACCCUGGUUUCUAUGGCAUCACAGUUAUCUGAAGCAGAAGAGCGUGAACGGGUCUUUAGCGGCAGGGGACGCUGGAACCAAGUUCGAUCUCUUGCUGAAGCAAAAAAUAUGAUGAAUUAUCUGUUCAACUUAGCAUCCUCAUCUAGGUAUUAAUUGUGUUCAAACUUAUUCGUGUGUGUAUUUCACCAUCUCAUCCCAUCUUGCUAUUUGCAUUUUGGUUCAUUAGUGUUUUGCUUCAGCCUCUGUUUUUCUUUACUUGGUUCAUGCAAGUACUCUUUCGUUAAUUCUUUCUUUUUAGUUGAAAAUUUGGACAUUGUUGUUGAACUAACUUUUUUUUAUUUUUUUUAUAAGUUUUGUUGUUGAUCUAACUAGUUCAUCUCUUUUUAUUUAUCCACUCUGAGUCAUACAUCUUCAUGCGUAUCCGUAUCUUGUUGAGAGAGAAGUGAGUGCAUUCUUGUUCAGCAUUAGCUGUAUGUCAUUUUUUUUUUAAAUAUGUUAAUUGGUAUUAAAGUUCCUGUUUCUUUCUUCUUCUUCUUCUUCUUCUUUUUUUUUUUUUGUGUGUUUUUUUUUUUUUUUUCUUUUUUGAGGUUGAAUCUGAAAGUAGGCAAUGAGUAGAUUUUGCUAAAAUUUGGUACAAUGUUGUUUGUGAUAAACUCAUUAAAUUUGUUCUUCAUUGUCUUGUGAAGGUGUAAGUUAUGGGAUAAAGAACUUGACAGCAGGGAGAAAGAUUCAGAAAUAAGAGACUUGAAGGAAAAAGUGGUCAAGCUCAGUGGUUUGGUUAGACAACUGGAAAUACAAAAGGCUGAACUUCUUCAUCGAGAGAAGCUACAGGUUAGUUAAUUUGGCUAUAUCACAUUGAUGAUAGUGCUUAAUCAUAACCAUUUAAUCAAUCAGCAUUUGUAUUGCAAUGGCACUAAAUUAAUGCAAAUAGAGCUUUGAGGGAAGGAGACUUUCACAGAUCAAAAGCAAGUGAAAAAUAAAGUUUUGAUGAUAAAUAAAAUCCUGGUUUACCGUCCUUGUUGCUCAAAUUGGGUCAUUCAAUACAUCAUUUUGGAGGAAUAAUUUGCCUAGUUUAAUUAAUAUCCGAAACAUUCUUUUCUGAAUAUUUAUUAUGUUUAUCUUGUGAUCAGUAAAAUGGAUGAGCUAGACAUGUUCUGUUAUCCUGUAAAAGUUAUUAUAUUCCACAAAAAGAUUUUUCUGUUCUACAAACAGGUAAAGUGAUAGAGUUUUACAUUGAGUUGAUAAAAGGAAUUGAACAAAUGCAAAAAAAAUCAGUUCUUGCUGGUAGCUGACUGGUGUACUGUUAGUGGAUCAGAUGUAUGAAGACUACAAUUAGAUAUGAUAUACUGAUUUUCCAAUUUUUCGUUUCCUCUUGCCCUGCUAGUUUUAGCUACUUUGAACUUCUUGGAUUUCAUGUUUGAGGUGCUAGUGUACAUAAUCAUAUAUCAAGUAAAAACAUCCAGUAAGUAGGAUCACUCAACUUAAUCAAUAAAGUUUUGAUGAUAAAUAAAAUCCUGGUUUACCAUCCUUGUUGCUCAAAUUGGGUCAUUCAAUACAUCAUUUUGGAGGAAUAAUUUGCCUAGUUUAAUUAAUAUCCGAAACAUUCUUUUCUGAAUAUUUAUUAUGUUUAUCUUGUGAUCAGUAAAAUGGAUGAGCUAGACAUGUUCUGUUAUCCUGUAAAAGUUAUUAUAUUCCACAAAAAGAUUUUUCUGUUCUACAAACAGGUAAAGUGAUAGAGUUUUACAUUGAGUUGAUAAAAGGAAUUGAACAAAUGCAAAAAAAAUCAGUUCUUGCUGGUAGCUGACUGGUGUACUGUUAGUGGAUCAGAUGUAUGAAGACUACAAUUAGAUAUGAUAUACUGAUUUUCCAAUUUUUCGUUUCCUCUUGCCCUGCUAGUUUUAGCUACUUUGAACUUCUUGGAUUUCAUGUUUGAGGUGCUAGUGUACAUAAUCAUAUAUCAAGUAAAAACAUCCAGUAAGUAGGAUCACUCAACUUAAUUCUACUGAACUAAUUGUUUUACUCUGUUUUUAUUGUUUGAACUUCUUGCAGAAAUUAGCUUCAAAGAAGCAUGACAUGGAUAAUGCGGGUCGGAAGUAUGAUUUUCGUGAGGUAUUAUUUGCUCUCCAUCUUUCCUUUACAUGAAUAUACUUCACAGAAGUAACUACAUGAACAACUUAACUAAAUUUUCAUGACUGUCCAGAAAAAUAAGUUAACUAUAAAGCACUUGUGGCUGACUUCCUUCUAGGACAUAACAAUUGAGUAGUUUUAAUUGAUUUAUUGGCUUCCUAACUGUUUCUCAUCUAGGGACCUCGGCGGUCUGUGAUUUUGUUGGAGGACAUGGAUACAUCUGAAUCAGAACAUUCUAGCACAGACAGUGCCGAUGAUGAUGACUGGGUAGAAUCAGGAAAAAGGCCAAGGAAGAAAAGGAAUUCCAAAGCUGGAGGUCAAUCACGUGUAGGUUCGGAUAUCAGUAGUUCAGAAAAUUUGAGAACGGAAAAUUCAGGAAUAUGUUGCUCUUGUAGUAAAUCAUCUUUUUGUAAACUAAAGAAAUGUGAGUGUCGUGCUGCUGGAGGCACUUGUAGGGACUCAUGCAGCUGUGCACCUAAUAAGUGCACUAACAGAGAAACAAUUAAGGUUGAGGAGUUGGAUGACUUCCUGCAAUCAGCGGUUGCUGAAGGCAUUGGGAACUUGUCAGGCAGUGAUGAUACACAGAAGUACCACGACCUUGCUUCUCAUGGUGCAAUGCUGCUCCAGAGUGCACUAGUUGAUGAGCCUGCUGAGGCAAAUGAUGAUUGUGAAUCCAAAAGGAAGCCUUUAUCCGAAAUUGGGAACAAAAUGGUAUGUUCCUUUCCUAUCUUGUCGCAUAAGGGGUUGAGAAGUUAUGUAAUUGCUGCUGAAUGUGAAAGACAUAAAUUUCCGCCCAUGCAAUAAGCAUGGCCGACACGUCUUAUUUUCCAGUACAUUUCUUAGGUCUAUUCCUAUUCCUUACCGCUUAUUUCUCCUAGUGUGCUAAUGGAAAAUUUAAAUGACUGUGCAGGCCAGAGCAAAGGCACCUAAGCCUAAUCCAAGAAAGAAAUGGCGAAAAUCAGUAAUUCAGCUAGUUUCUGUAGCCCCACCUUCGUCGCAGCCAGAGAAUACUGAAGCUCCCAAGAAGGCAGAGAACACUGCAGUUGAGGUAGACAUCCCUUUGAAGUUACCCAGGGCUAUGAGAUCGGCAGCAUCAAAUGGCAACCCCUUUAGAGUUAGAAAUUCUGAUCAGCCAGACGAAUCAGCAGCCAACAACAAGGAGACUGUCGCUUCUGCCUCAAGAAGUCCAGUCCGGCAGGCAAGAACAUUGGAUGAGAAAGAGAACUAUGGUCCUUAACUUAAAAAGAGCUGGUUCUUGUUCCUCAUCCUUGAAAUAAAUACUAACAGUCUGCUCAAGUUUCCGUGGUGUGCCCCCUCAAAAUGAAAAUUUCCUGGUGAAUUUAUAGGAGCAGAGAACGGGAUCUAACAGAAUGUGUAAGUUCUUGUGUCUUGUGAGGAUUGAUCAAUCCUCUAUAGAGGGGGGGUGGGGUUUUCCAUGAUAUGCCAAACAAUUAGAUCCCUGUGUAUAAGUGAACGUAAUCGACUUCGCUGACAACAGUUGAUCCUAAUGCUGUGCCUCGUCCAUUUUUGUUGCUCCGAAUGCUAUUAAAAUUCUCUCUGAUGUGCUUUCAGUGUGCCAUCUAAUAUCUUGGGGAAUUGUAAUUUGAGUUUUAUCUUCAUCUUGCAAUCGUAGAAAUCUGGUCUCAGCACCUUUGCGCUCUACUAAGCGUACGUUGUCAGUAGAAAAUCACUCUUCAUAAUAGUAAUCACACUAAAGAAAUAGAAAAUAAAACAAAAUAUAUAUAAGAUUUAUAGCGUUCCCUUUGCAUAAGAGUCUGUCUAGCCCACUUUACCUUCACAGAUUUUUUUCAUUAUUAUACCUAUGACGACAAAAAUGAUAAAUGUGAUUAGCAUUAUAACACUCAAACACAGCCUCAGAGUUCAUUUAAUGUUUAUUUAUACCUACAAAUUUUCAUUACGUGGCAUCGAUUUUUCAUUACAUGGCAUUAUAGCUAUUUUAAUGAUAAUUUUCACGCUUGAGAGAUGAUGAUUAAAUAUCAUAAAAAAUUAUAUAUGUUGAUUAGUAAAAUACAAAGGGUAUGAACAUCCUUAAUCCUUUUUCUAUUUAUUUUUUUGAAUAAUUAUUCAUAAAAACUUUAUUGGAUAUUAUUUCAUUUUAUGACUAUUUAUAAAAUAUAUUUUUCUCAUUAUUUUCAUAUUUGUAAUCGUGCGAAAAGAAAUUCUGAUUCCAAGUUGUUUAAGAAUAAUGACAUUUAACAACUCUACAUAUUAUCACCAUUUUUAAUAAGAAAAUGGUAAGAUACUGAAUCAAAUUCCGGAAAUAGUUGAUGUGUACAAACAAAGAGAGAAUAAGAUAUAAAGAAAUGCCAUCAAAGUUAAAAGAAAAUAAAAUUGAAAUACAAUUAAAUGGCAUUAAGUAUAAAUAAAUGGGCAAAUUUUGCCUCGUCAUCCCCGCUCUUAUGUUACCGUUGAAGCACCCAUUUUUUGAAAAAAUAUUAUUUGAUGUUUUUAUUUUUAUUUUAAAAAAUUUAAAAUGUGCCUCCACUGACGCGCUCAAUAUAAUUUGAACAAAGAAAAUAAUUGGUACAAAAAGAGGGGACAACAAAAGAAACAAAAAAAAUAUCUUCAAUCGUCGGAUCCCGCGAUUAGGGUUUUAAGAUUUGAUUUCGGUUUGUUAACUAAGAGAUUGAUAACACCAACAUUAGGUAAUAGCUGGAGAUGAAGAAGGCCAGUGAGAAGAGAGUUCAUGAAUUGGAACUGAAGAACAAAGCUUUACAGGUGUGAUUCUUAAUUGAAUCUGUUUGGUUGCUGAGAAAAUGUUACGAACGAAGAAAUCAGAGAUUUCGUUUCAUCGAAAACAUGAAAUUUAUGUUCUCUUAUUUUCCUAUGCUUUCUUGGCAACCAAAAGGAGGGAUAUUUUUUUUUGUUUUCUCAUCUGUUUUGUGAAAUGGCAGACGGAGGUGGAGGAGCUGAGGAACAGUCUCGCAAAUGUUUCUGUGGCCUCCGAUGAUGGCGUUCGAAAGAUAAAGGAAAAUUAUCUUCAGAAGUUGAACGACCUUGAAGAACAGGUUGAUCUCUCUUUCAACUACGAUGUGCUGUCUGAAAAGCAUUUUGAAAUUACAUUUUCCCGCUUUUAAAUGCGGGUUUUUUUUUUUUUUUUUCAUGCUUUGUAUAGCAAGAGAAUACUUUGAAAAUGCUAUCCAAAAGAUGCGGAUCUAUAAGCGGAUUCUGAUUUUAUAGGUUGGAGAGUUGAAGAAAAAACUAGAAGCUCAAUCUCAGUUACUAAUACAGAAACAAAAACAUGUCGAGGCCGCGAAGCAGUUACAUUAUGAGAUUCAGAGAAUAAAGGCUCAAAAAGUAUUAUUACGCAGUUGAUAAAAUGAGUAUAUGAUUUUGCUUUUGGCACUUGCUAUUAAUGCCAUUGUAUUUUAAUUUUUGAUCCUUUUUUCUAGGUUCAACUACAAUGGAGUAUGAAGAAACAGUCUGUGCAGUUCAGAUUAUGUAAGGCAGCAUUGGAAAAAGAAAUCCUCCAGGUUAUGCCUCUUUGACAUAUAUGUAAUUCCUGUAUUCAAGUUCUGCAUUUGCAAUUCUUCAUAUAAUGUGGGCAUUUGUUUUAUCAAAAAAUUUGAAUCAUGCCUAAGAUUGGCUUUGAUUUUAUUCUAUUUUUUCUCUUUCUUUUUUGAAGCAGUGUAUUUGAGCCAUAAAUAUGGUUUUCAUUUUAGGAUUAGGAAAAAAAAAAGA